GUUUCGGGUGGCGGAGAAGUGGGUAAUUUGGAGACGGGGUUGGGGAGGUAGUUGAGGAUUGUUAGGCCUGGAGGGGUUUUGGGAUCACGGCCGCGGAUACCGAGGGAAACCCAGUAGUUCUCCGAUGGUUUUUGGUCGGUGUUGAUGAGGACGGAGUAAGAUUCGCCGGAAUAAAUGUCGAUGUCGGAAGUUAGAAAUGGUUGAACGUAGUUGCCGUCGGCUUCUACCACUAAUAGUUUGUGCUUCUGAAGAAGAAAAAAGAAAUUACUAUACAAUUUUAAAAAUAAAUAAAUUCUGAAUAAUUAGCAAGUUGAAUUUGACGUUUUAGUUUUAAUACACAUAGUAAAAAGAGAGAGAUAGUUACGUACCCCGAUGGCAAAGUUGAGGGCAGAGAGUGAAGUGGUACUUGUAAUUCUAAUCCUAUAAAUCUUAUUGGGUUUGACUUCGAGGAUAAAAGGUGCACAUUGUUCACUUCCACUCAACUUACAUUGCUCCAUUUUCUUCAUGUUCAUGUAUUUAGCUGCAAUUGAACAAUUGCUUUGCCCUCUCCCAUUUAUGAGUAUGGACUUUGAACAAGAAGAAGGGGACAUAAAAAUACAUUUAAUUAAACCUCUCAAAUAGCAUUAAUAGAAUCAACAAGAGAAAGUACAAUAAUUAUAUCCCUAACAAAAUAAUUUACCUAAAUCCAAUUAACCAAAUCAAAACCCUUACGACACUUUAUCUUCUAUUUAGGUUGGUUUAAUUUCCAAUUCUUUUUACUUUUUUUAACUUCAUUACAUGGUGAGAUUUCAUCUAAGGAUAUUAUGGUAACUUUUGAAAAUAAUAUAAAAUGUUUUUUUUUAGAAAAAAUAAUUCAACAAUGAUAAUUGGAAGUUUGCAAAAAAGUUUAAGAAACAAUGUCUAAUAUAAAAAGUAAUUGUUAUGUGUAUAACAAAAACCAUGUUUCAAGCAAGUAAGGUAUUUAUAAGAGGGACAAUAUUACUUUCCUCAAUAUGUUUUAUUUUGGUAGAAAUUAUACCUUAUGUUAUUUAUGUGUCUCAAAAAGAGACAUAUAUGUUUGAUUUGUUGUUUCUUUUAACGGAAAAAAAAAAAAAAAAACUAAACGUGUUCGAACUCUUAUAGUUUGAGCUAUCUUGUGUUUUUAGUGUAGAGUAAGAGAUUUAAAUCAAUUUCAAUUUUUAGAGAUAAAAGUAAUGUGAAUGUCAAUGAAUCAAACUCACUCCGUUAUGUAAUUUUGACGUUGAAUUUUAUUGGAAAAUUGUUUUAAAUGGUAAAACGGUUGAAAAUACUUAUAAAUACAAUAAAAUUUCAUGGGCUUUCAGUCAUAGACAACUAUCCAUGAUAUUUUGCUAUAUUUAUAAAUAUUUUUGUUUAUUUUGUUAUAUUUGAAAACAAUCUAAUUUUAUAAAAUGUUUUAGUUAUUUUUUUGUCUAAGGAAGUUUUGUUUUUAAAAUGCCAUUGAGAGAAUAUUUUGUGGACAUUUUUGUUUGUUUGUAGUUAAAGCAGCAAACAUUUUGAAUAUUAAGAAAUAAUUAUUAAAAGUAUAAUUAUACCAUUUCGACAAAAAAAUCUAACAUUAGUUUAGUUAGAUAAUUAUUAAUAAUAAAGUAUAAUUAUACCAAAUUGCUACCUAACAAUACUUUUAUUUUUUGCUUUAAAAAAAAUAUAAGCUUAUAAUAUUAUUUUCACAAAUAAUUAUCUUCAUUAAUUUUAUUAAUCUACCAUUUAGAUAUACAAAAUCAAAGUUUUGAUAAAUAAAUUUGUAAAAGUAGAUUUUGUUGUAAAAAUUUAACAAAAGAAUCCUACACAAAUGUUUCAAUUAUCUCUCUUUUCAUUUGAGAUAUGCUUUAUUUUUAUACAUAAAAUUUUAAUUUAAACACUGUCCUUCAAAAAAUAUCCUAAAAUAUAAUAUUGAAACAAACUCCAUAAUUCUUUCUUUCUUUAAUUUCUUCUUCUUCUUCCUUUUUUUUUUUUUUUUUUUUUUGGUUAAAGUAGGACUUAAUUUUUAAACCUUGACCAUGAUGCCAAUAUUCAUAUUUUUGAACUUGUAGAAAUAAAAACACUCUCAAAGGUGUAUAUAUAUAAUAAUAAUAAUUUUCAAAAUAAAUAGAGGGAAUAUAAAUGAAAGUUUUGUUAGAGAAGAGUAUAGAAAACCUACCUCACAUCUCAUGAAUAUUCAGUAUAAUUUAAGAAAAUAUCAUAUUUGAUGGUUAGUCCAAACAUAAUUAGGAGAUAAAGAUAUAACUUAAACUACCUGUGGUUCACCAAUCCAACGCAUUGGGCUAGAGCUAAGGCCAAUUUCUUGCUUUAGAAUGCUUUCGUGCCACCAAUCACUAAGCAACAAGUUGAUUUCUUCGUCGUAAUGGAACGGCUCUUUCUCUCCUUCUUCUGGAUCCACUAUCAAGGAUCCAUAUAACCCAGCCGCUCUCUGCAUACCCAAAUGACCAUGAUAGAAAUAUGUCCCAGGCUGCCAAACGCAAGUUCAACAAAACAAAUAAAUUUUGUUAGAGAUUAUAUUUUAUGUCACUUUAUUCAGCAUCGACAUUUCGAAACCUUCUCACCUUAUCUACUACGAACUGGUAAGUGAAGGAUUCGCCUGGGUUAGUCGCACACUGCGAGAUGGAAGCAGUGCCAUCGGCCCAGGGAGUUCCCUUCUGUAGGAUUCCAUGCCAAUGAAUGACAACAUCUUCAGUGGAGAGCUUGUUAAUCAUCUCUACAACCACAGUGUCACCAACAUUGGCUCUAAUAGUUGGCCCGGGAAACUGGCCGUUGAUUCCCAUGACGAGGUUUUCUUUACAGUCCGGGGACCAAAACAUGUAUUCAACUUCCCAUGUGUAGUGUCUAGUUUGGGAAACAGCAUCAGAGAGAGUUAUUCCAAACCCAAAAAUGAUUGACAGAAGAAAGAACAUGGCUGGAAAAGGCAUAGGAAACAAUGGCUGAUUUGCAACUUUUGUUGCCAUCUCUUGGUAAAGAGAUGGAAGGGAAGAAUAAUAAUGCAAUGAGCAAAAAAGAGGAAAUUGGGAGUGGGAAGUUUGUGGAAGAUACCACUGCAAUUUACCAACGGCUCCUCCUUAAUUUAUAAUGAAAUUUUGUGAGGUUUUGAUAAUACAAAUUUAUGUCAACUUAUUUUUUCUUUUGUCUUCAUUUGUUUGAUACUUUUUUUUAUUGGUUUUAUAGUUCUAAAGGUUUUUUCUUCUAUGGAAAACUUGACGUUUAUAUGAUGGAUAUUGAGAACCUAGAGAGAGAUUUAAAUGUAGAAGUUUGUUUGGAUGUUUAAUUUUUUUAAUUAAAAUGUAUGUAUAACAUAAUAUAAUAACUUUUUUUUAAGAAUUUGCAUAGUAGAAAGGUACUGAAAUUAUGUGUUAUGUAAGAUUGUCUUUGCUAAGCUUUAGGUAAUCUAGAUACUAUUAAUUUCAUAUAAUAAAGUUUAUCUAAAUUUUUUUUAAGCUGAAGUAAAUUUAUUUGUUCUAACAUUUUCAUCUUAUAUUUUUAUAUCAAUUAGUUUAUAUUAACUUUAUUUUUUUUGUUUUUUUUAUCAUAAAUAAAUUUAUAUUAUAUAUUUUUUCAUUUAUACAUAUUUUAUAUUUCACAUUUUCAUUUUUUUAUUUAAACAUGAAUUUUUAAUGCAUGCAUGAGAGUCUUUCUAAAUACAAAAGUAUUAUGCCUAAAAGAAUAUACAAACGUAUUAGGUAGUUGUGGGAAAGAUAAAACGAACAUUGUAGUUUAAUAUAUAAUUAAAAAGAAUCCAAAUAUUAUUUGACUUUAUCUAAAGUUAAUUAUUAAUUACAUAUAAUUAAUCACAACCUUGCAUUAAUUUAUAUUUAUAUAAAAACAAGUGAAAUAGAGAAAGUGGAUAAAAAAAAAAAAGAAAAAUCCACCAAACUCAAUCAAAAUAUCAAUUUCUUUUUGCUAUAUUUUUCUAUCUCUAACGAUUUACCUAAAAAAAUGAGAAAAAUGAUGGGAAAAGGGUUAGUAAAAGAUUCUUCAAAACAUGAAAAGUCUUAAGAACCGUGAUUAAAAUAGAUAUUAACAUUAAUAAAAUGUUUGGUUAUAAUUAGAAAUAUUGAGGUUUCAAACCUUACGAAAAUAUCAAUAAAAAAUUUGAAUAAAUUAUGGAAUGAAAUCGUUAUAAUUAAUUAAUAAAAGUACUUUUAUUGUGACUUAAUUAGAAUUAACCAUUUUUAAUAGCAAUGUCUAUAAAGUAAGACAACCAUUUAGGUGCCUAUUGUUAGUGCAUGUGCAAAUGUUAAUAAGAUAACCUAGAUUUAAAAAUAAAUGGAAAAGUAGUUACCCAAGUUUAAGAAUGCUUUCGAGUGAAAUAUUCCACGAGGUUAAAAGUAAGUUGAAUUUUUUGGUUGGAGGAAAAAUACAAAUAUAACAAUUAUAUAAUCAAAAUAAUUAAACAUACAACAACAUUUUAAAAAAAUUAUAAAUAUAUAGCAAAAUCUAUUAAAACCUGUCAAAGAAAGAGUUAUCUCAAUAGAUUUUGCUAUAUUUAUAAAUUUUUAAAAAUGUUUUUAUAUAAUUAAUAAUUAUUUCUAAAACUGCUAUCCAUUAUAAUUAUCCUAAUUAAAAUUUAGAGCUCUUCCUCUAAAAUUUCGAUUUAUAUUGUCCAUGACUUUCCUACGUGUCAUUCAUUAUUGUUAUAUUUAUUUAUAUUAGUAGGUUAAAGAGUUGACCUUUUACUAUAUUUAAUAUUAUUUAUUAAUAUGUCAAUAUGAACUUUUAAUUAAUUUAAGGAAGCCCUAAUAAUUCCAUUAAGAGAUUUUUUUUUUCAUCAAUAUAUAUAUAAUGUAUUUUUAACAAAGCUAUAAUAGAGGUUGAGAUUAGAAGAAAAGUCUUCUAAAGUAAAACAAUGAGAGACAAAACAAAUAUAGACAAAAAAAAAUCAUAAAAUUGCAUCACACACAAGAUCAAACGAACCAAAAAUAUUUUUUAAAAAUUGAAUAUUCAAUCUCACUCUCACAUGUUACUUCAAAUUAAUGUACUCAUUAACUAAUAAAAGUACUUUACCUAUAUAUAUAUAUAGGACAUGAGGUUUUUUAAAAAAAAAAUCAUUAUCGACGCCUUCUCCUCUCAUCGUCUAUUUUAAAAAAAAAGUCUACACAAAUACACGUGUAAGAAUUUAUUAUAUAAUAAUUUUAUUUAUUAAAAAUUUAUAAGAUGUAAAUCGAUCCAUAUCUAAAAGUUUAGAACUAAGGGCUAAAGUUACGUAAUUUUAUAAUUACGUUUGGUGAUAGAAAAUUAAGGUUUUAGGGGCAUAAUUGCAGUUAGAAUUAUAUGAAGGGUGCUUUUUGCAAUUACUUCAUACACUCAACAUCAAAGUGAGUGUUUAGUACACAAGGCAUGUCAUUCAUUGUAUGUCCACUCCACAUAUAUAUACAAUACAUAUAUGCUCAAAGGUGUUAUUAACAAAAAUGAUAAUUUUUUGAAAAAAAUAUCUUAUAUCAAAACAACUAUGUCUUUGUCCUUACUAUCAGUUAAUUUCCAUCUAUAUCUUUAUUCUUUUACAUUUCUACAUUUUCAAUCUUUUUCAAGGGGCAAAUUGACAUUUUAUGCCUUUUUUAUAUUUAUGAUAAUUAAUUGCAACCUUAAUUUUUAUAAAUAUAUAUAACAAAACUCUAAUAUAUUUACAAUCGUGUAACAAAAUCAACAAAAUUCAUGAAGCUAAUAAAAUAUUUUCAUAAAUUCCAUAUUUGUUCCUGAUAUUGCAAAUGAUUCGUCGCUUCUCUUUCCUCUUCUUCUUUACAAUUUUUUUAUCUUCUCUUCCAGAUUUCUUCAACUCCUUUGAUGUUCUUUCUUCUAUUUUUAUUCAUCUUCUUUUUCUUUCUUUCCUUCGACUCCUCUUCUAAAUAUUAAUUUGAUAUGAUCUAAACAAUCGCUUACCUCAACAUGAUCAAAUAGCAUGGUCAACACGAUUGUUUAGAUUUAAAGUCAUUUUCCAUCGAUUAAAAAGAACUACACGAUCGUGUGGAAACGAUUUAAGUGAUCACUUACCUAGUCAACAUGAUAUAUAUAUAUCAUUUAGCAUGGUUAACACGAUCAUUUAGAUUUGAAGCCAUUUUUUCUAUCGUUUCAAAAGAACUACACGAUCGUGCAGAUAUGAUCUAAACGAUCGCGUACCAUAGUCAGCUCGAUCGUUUAGUGUGGUUAACACGAUCUUUUAUAUUUAAAACAUUUUAUUUCAUCGUUAAAAAGAACUACACAAUCGUGUGGAUACUACCUACACGAUCAUGUAUCAUGUUCUAUGUCGAAGUGUCUCAUGAUCGUUAAUUUAGAAAAAGAAUUAUACAUGUCCAUGCGGCCGAUUAAUCGUGUGUUGACUAAGAUAUUUUUUAUAUAUUUUUUUCAUCAUUGGCCCGUAACUUCUUCCAUUUUCAAAAUUGUUCUAUACAACGUAAAUAUUAUGUUAAUUUAUUAUAUUUUUUAAAAACACUAAACAAAACAAUAAUUUGGGUGUGAACUAAUAAUGUUUCAAUAAAAGAAUAUAUACAUUUUUUAAAUUUUAAAAAGGGAAUGAUUAAAGCUCAUAUUUUGUUUUCGUAUAAUUUUUCGAUAAAACUCAUAAUUUAAGGGAAGGGAAGGGAAUGACUAUAAAAACUCAUAUUUUGUUUAUAUUUAUAUAUUUGGUUAAAUUACAUUUUUACCCUUGAAGUUUAAAAUUUGUACGAUUAGUUCUAAUGUUUCAAAUUUGCAACAAAAAAAAAAGUACUCAAAUUUUAGAAAAUGCUCGAUUACGAUCCAAUUGGGAUCGGUUAAAUAGACAACAAAGAUGAGACAAAUUUACAAACUUUAGUAUGAUGUGUGACGAAAAACGAUUCCAUGAAGAUGUGGCUACAUUCAAAUAGUACCAUUAUUUGUAAGGUGAAGUUUUUUUCGUCAAUCUCUUCCCUCUUCUUACAAAAUUUGUUGUUACCAAUUCUUCCCAUCACUUGUCUACUUUUCUUGAUUUUGACAAGAGAGAAAAAAAGUUGGUUGACAACAUCCUCGAGAGGGAAGGGUGGGAAGAGAAAACAUUUUUUAAAAUUUUUAUUUUCUGAAUAAUAGAUUAAAGUUAACAAUAAUAGUUAAUUUAAUGUCUAAAUUGUGAGGAAGUUGAUUGUUUAAUUUUAAAAUGUGGAGACAUACUUUAGGAUCAAAGGUAUAAUUUCUUUAUAUUUUGAAAGCUACCAAAUUUAGUUCACUACCUCUAUUUUAUUUUUUUUCAUUUGUUUUUCACGUGGGAACAAUGAAAAUAUGUAGUUUCCUUUCAAAUUGGAAAGCAAUUCUGUCUGUUGGCUACAAAGACAAAAUACUAUUUGUUUUUCUUUUUAUUGUCUAAAUAAUAAUAAUACACGUUAUUGCUAUGUAGCUUUUAAUGAAGUAUGUUAGAAGUGUUAGGUGUGUCGGAGGAUAGAGGUAAAUUUAAACUUAACUUUUGUGAAAGUUGGGAGGUUGGACAUAGCGUAUUCAUGAAUUAAGCUCGAGUAAGUUGGAGCAUUUGAGAUUAGAAAUAUAAGACUAAUCAAUCUUAUUUAUGUUUUAAGACUUUUAACGAGAUUGACAAGAGUUGGAUGAAAAUUAGGAAUAGGUUUUAAUCGAUUAAGCACAGAGAAGAAAAUUUUCAAUUUUUAGAGGUUGCAAAAUAUCACGACAAUAAUUAUGGACGACUAAGGUGUCCAAGCAAGAGAUGUAUGAAUUCAAAUUGAGACUCAUUAGAGGGUGUGGAGCGACAUCUAUUAACAACUGGAAUAUCCCCCAACUAUACAGACUAGGUAUAUCAUGGAGAGCCUGUGAACUUACACAGAGGUAUGCAAAGAUUUGAUGAAGGAACUAGCAUUAGUAACCCCUUUUGAAAUGUUGGAUAUGAUUCAUGAUUUACAAACUCCAAACGAAUGCGAAGAAGAGACGGAGGAAGAUUUGGAGAAUGAAAUGUCGUGUAACAGUGGGGUAGAUAUAGAAGAAGAGACAACAAACGUCGUAUUUCAUGAGUUAUUAAACCAAGCAAGUUGUGAACUAUACCUCGACUGUUCAGAAUUUUCGUCCUUGAACUUUUUUGUUAUGGUAAUGCAUUUAAAGGUUCUUAAUAGUUGGAGCAACAAGUCGUUCGAUAUGAUGUUAGAGAUAAUAAAAUGUGUGUUUCCAAUGUGUGGCACCAAUAUCUCUAGUUCAUUUUACGAAGCCAAACGAAAAUUGCGUGAGUUGGACUUGGGAUACGAGAAUAUUCAUGAUUGCAAGUACGACUGUGUAUUGCUCUAGAAGUGUUUGGGGAUUUGCAACAGUGUCCAACUUGUGGUGAGUUUCGAUACAUGGUUAGUUCUAAUAGAUCAAGAAAAAAUUCUGCAUAAAGUAAUCCUACUACUUUCUGUUGGUGCCGAGAUUUCAACGCUUGUUUGUAUUGCAAGAAAGCUCGACAGACAUGAGAUGACAUAAGGAUAAAUGAGUGAGAACAAAGGAUUUGUUGAGACGUCCAACUGAUGUAGAGGGAUGGAAGCACUUUAACUCUGAAUUUCCUGAUUUUGCUCUAGAUUUACAGAACGUCUGUUUGGAAUUAGAUGCAAAUGGGUUUAAUCCAUUCGGUUAUAUGAGUGUCUCGUACAAUAUGUGGCAUGUGGUGUUAAUUCCUUACAAUUUGCCACCAUAGAAAUGCAUAAAAGAGUCAAACUUUUUCAUGCCAUUGUUCAUUUUUUGUCCAAGAUCUCCUGGUAGGGAAACGGAUGUGUACCAACAAACCAUUGAUUGAGAAACAGAAAGAGUUGUGGACUUUUGAUGUGCGUACGUAUGACUGUAUUACAUAUCAAUUUUUUCAAUUGCACGCAACCUUGUUGUGGACAAUUCAUGACUUCUCGACAUAUGGUGACCUAUCUAGGUGGAGUAUGAAGGGGUAUCAGACAUGUCUCAUUUCAUGGAAAAUAAAUCGUCGUUGGAUAAGAGAAAAAUAGCUUUCAUGUGGGACAUCGACGCUAUCUUUCAGAUAACUACAUGUUUGCCGUCGAAGUAGGCUACAUGAUGGAAAAGUCUAGCGUAAGCUAAGACUCCUCCAAUAGUAAUAAAUGAGCAUGAAAUCUUCAAACAACUAGAUUCGUUAGAAUUUCCACUUAUGACUAAGUAUCAUUCGUUAAAAGAUAAGAAAAGAAAUAAAGCUUUUGAUUGGUACAAGAAAAGUAUUUUCUUUGAUUUUCUUUACUGGUCGAGACUACUAAUUCGUCAUAAACCUGAACAACUUAAUUAUAUUUUUUUUGUUAAUUAUAUCGAUUUCAUAUUUUGUUUUAUAAUUUGUAAUUUUUUUAAUUUUAAUAAUAUGUUACAAAUUUUGUUUCUUUCAAUUUGAAGCGGAACUGAAAAUAAUAUACCUUACAAUAAAAAAUAAAAUAAAGAAAACAAUAAAAUGAUAAAAUAAUAAAAUAAUAAAAAAGAAAUUUAUCCCAACCUAGAAAACAGGUCGGGAUCCUGUGUUCACCCUGACUUACCCAUACGACAUCGGGGAAACUUUUCUCGAUGCAUGUCGAGAGUACCCUUUUCUUGACGCACAUAGACAACAUCAAGCGUAUUCCACUACCGACGUCUUGCCUGUGUCGGCAUGGACAGUGUUGGGAAUAACCCUAUGUUGACGUCUUCACUUUGAUGCGUCGUAGAAAGCUGCCCCGGCGUUGAAAUCCUGACGUUCUAGUUGACGGAGAAUUAUGCGUCGAUAAUACUUUGACUGACACCUUUACUAUUUUUGCCGACGAUUUGUGGUGUUAGAAGUCCUCCGCUUUCUUGUAGUAGGAGUUGCUCACAAGUCCUGACGUGUUAUGAAGUGCGAUGAGAGAGACUGCACCAAACGCGUAUAUGAAUCGACAUUAGGAGCUUGUCCUUACUUUCGACGUCAAAAUGAAGCGCGUUGGGAAAAGGAAACUCCUGACACCGAUUCAUAUACGUGCUAGGAAAUCGUCUCCCAAUGCAUUAUUUCUUUCAACUCGUCUCCUGACGGUCCUGUAUGCGUCGGGAUCCUUUCUAGACGCAUUUGGAUAUAUAUGUCAAUGCUUUUAUGUGUCGAAAGAGCCACUAUUUCUUGUAAUGAUAUUUGAUUCUUUGGUUCUUUCUCUUGAAAAAAUAAAUUUAACUAUUAAAUUUUCUGAUAUUCUUGGAUAAUCAAAUUUAGGCUUGAUGAACUUCUUCAAUGAUUGACCUUUAUUGGGUUUGUUGAUCUUUUAGAGAAUCGACCUUCGAACUUAUUGGUCUUUUCUUAAAUGAUCGGUAUUUAGGUUAGAUGAUUAAUUUGGAUUGAUCAUUGGUUUGGUGAUAUGCUUAGAUUUGCCUUACAAUUUUAAGAGAGUUAUAUUUUUUUGAUCUUAAGAGUUUUGAUCAUAUAAAUUUUAGAUUUUAAGAUCUUUAAAGCCUCCAUCUCCAAAAUUUGAGAACUUCAAAGUUUCAAUUUUUAGAGAAAUCUGUGUGCUUUAAUUUAGUCUUUUAGAAUAAUUUAAGAACGUCGAAAUCUUCCCAGCUUUCAAUUUUUCAGAAGGUGAUUAGUCUCAAGAUUGAUAAGAACUUUAAUGUCUUGAGAGCUUCAAAUCUUCAGAGCUUCGACUUUUCAUCGUCAAUUCUAUGGCCCAAAUUUUCAUGGGGCUUGAAUUCGGUCAGGUUCAAGAUACUUUAAUUAGAGAUAACUGUGAAACUCGCAAAAUAUUAAAUAACAAACUGAAGAAUAGCAAAUCCCCAAAAUAUUAAGAUUUAUAGCAAAAUUGUCGAUUGCAUAAUUUUUUUGACUUUUUUUGACUUUUUGCAUAGAAUAACAUUUUGAGAAUAUGAUAUAGUAAUUAUAGCACGUUGUUUUAGAAUUUUGCAAAUAUGACAAAAACUCUCCAUCUUAAAUUUGUUAUUAUUCUUAAACUGUCAUUCAAUAACUUAUUUCUCUUUCUUUUUUUAAUGCCUUACUCAUUAUUUAUUUAUUCUCUCACUUUUUCAAGUCCUAAUUAUUUGUUUAUUCUUAUACUAUAAAAAUUAUUUAUUAUUUAUGUCUUAAUCUUAAUUUUAAAAUUAUAGUACAAUAAUUGCAAUAUGAAAGAUAAUAUAAUGAUUGUUGAUCGAAGUAAUUUAACUUCAUUUGUGGUUCUUUUUUUUUUUUUUACUUUCUUCGAUGUGUAUUUUAAGUUGAAUAUGAUUCCAAAUGAUUUUAUUUUAUUUUUUUACAUCAAUUUUUUUAUUUUUCUUUGUCUCAGUUUUGUAUAUCAAUAUUGUGAUAUACUUGUAUUAUAUGUAGUAGUCAGUUAAUAUACUUAUUACGUGAUUUUCGAUUUUUUAAAUUUUAUGCAGUUUAUUAGAGUAUUAUUAAGUAUAUGAAUGAUGUAACUCGGUGUAUCAUUAUCAAGAAUAUCAAUAAUAUAUUGUUAAAGCAUAUCAGUAAAGUGAAUCAUUAUCGAGUAUAUUAAUCAAGUUUACAAGUGUAUAUCAAAUCUAUAAGUAGGACUUCAAGAAUAUCAAGUGCAUUUAAUCAAUCAAUUGUAUAAGUGAAGAAUACUAAAUGUAUCUGCAGUGUAACAAGUGUAUCAAACAUAUAUUAGUAAUGUUUUAGGUGUGUAUCAAAAGAUAUCGAGUGUAUCAAAGUGAGUAUCAGGUAGAUCAAGUGUAUCAAUCAAAUGUAUCGAGUGUAUCAAGAAGUAUCAAGUGUAUUAAGGGGUGUAUUAGGUGUAUCAAACGUAUAAUAGUAACGAGGGUAUUUAUGACAUUUUACCUCUUGAUAUGUGGGUCGGGCUUCAAUUUUGCCAUUUUCGCAAAUAAUAAAUUGUGUGUCCUAUAGACUUAAUUAUUAUAAUUUAUUUUGUCAUUUUUUUCAAGUACCCCUUAUAUAAAACAAUUCAUUUCUUACACAUACAGUGAAUGAGGCAGAAUAUCACAAGUUCAUGAAUAUAGUGUAUUUGCAAACAACAUUAAAUUUUGGAAAAUCUUAACUAAAUAUGAUAUUUUCGAGUUUGAUAAGAUUACACCAACAUCCCUAAAUAUAUGACGGUAAUUUAUAUCAUAUUUUUGGAUUCUUAAAAUUUAAAUCAAUUAAUUAACAAUUUAUUGAUAUAAUUCAUAAUAGAUAUGUUUAACAAUAAUGUGAAUUCAAAUUUUAGAUAAUGUCACUAAAAUAAUAGCAAAGAUCAAUUCAAUAGUUUUUGAUUCUUUAUAUUUCAUACUAUUUAUCAAAUCUUUAUUAAAUAAUACAUAAUACAUAUUUUUAAGGUGAUUUUUAAAAAUAAAAUAAUGGACAAACUAUUUCAUGCCCAUAGCAAAAUUUUAAUCCAAGACCAAAAUGGAUAACUAAAAUUUUAACCGAAGCCAAAGUAUUAAUGUUUUUUUUUGCUAUAGGAUGUAAAUACUUUCCAUUUUCUUCUAUUUAUGUAAAUUUAUUACAUGAACACAUCUUCAUUUUUGUCGACGAAAAUAUAUAUGUGGCCAAAAAAGUUGUGUAUUGCGUGGGCACAUCAUCGUCUUUGCCAACAAAAAUAUACAAAAAUAUAUAAGUGGACAAAAAUGUGUGUGGUGAAAAGGAAAAUUUUUAAGUUGGCUUUCUGCCGACAUUUACUUUUGUUUAUCACCACGUAUCGUGUGUUGGUAGAUAUUUUAAAUAUGUGCCCUCAUAAUUUAUGUGGCGAAAAAUCCUACAUUUUUAUACAUAUUUAUGGCGACGCUAGACCUAUACAUACGACGACGCAAGACUUAUAACGUAGGCAUAAGUGUUUUUUUUUAAAAAAAAAAAACCUAAUUUUUCCAAAUAUUUUCCUCCUUUUCUUUUCUCUCACGCAGUUCCUCCUUUACGUGAAUGGCUUGCUGCACCCCAAACACCAAGAUUUUCUUUGCUCACGUUGAUUGCCCAUCUUCGAUUUCACUCCUUGUCGUCACUGCUCUUCGCUCAACGGCUCGCUGCACCCCUUGCUUAUCGAUUUGUAUUAACUCAAAUAAGGUCUGAAUUGUAUUAUUGCAUUAAAAUUUCAGUACCUCAUCUGAUACACAAAAGCAAUAAUUCUCCACUGAAUUCUUAUGAAUUCUUAGUAAUUCUUUGGAUGUAUCUUCUUUUUCAUUUUCCUUACUGUAUUCUCUAAAUAAGAAAUUUUAACAUCCUCCCGAAGUUGAUCAAGGCUAAAAGGCUAGAUGCACAAUUGAGGUAUGUGAGGUGCUUAAAGUACUUGAACUAAUCUCGAGGUUUAGAAAAAACUUUUGCAUUAAACUGUAUGUUAGGAUGAUCGUAGCUUACUGUUCAUCAUUCUUUUACUUUAAGACUCUAGGAUGUGCAAAUAAGUGGCUCAAUCUUUGCAACCAUCCACCAAAUUUAGUUGAAUGUUCCAAGGCAUGGUGGUUAUUGUGUCAACCUUCUCCAAAUCAUAGCAAACUCAACUACCUAUCAAUGGAACAAAAAACAUCUAUAAGAAACAAAUAAAUUGUAAAACUUUUAUUUUGAAUGAGAAAAAAAAUAUCUAUUGAAUAUGACAUUUUUAAAUAUAUUAGUAAUUUAGAAACGUCACGUUGAUAACUCUAUUGAACAAAACAUUAAUUAAAUAGUGACUUUUUAACUAGAAUAAGAAACUUUUUUGAUAGACAUUAAUAUUACGCAUGAAUAUCCUUCAACUAUGAUAGCAAAUCAUGCAUAUAUUUCAUAUUUAUUGUAUGCUUGAAUUAUAAUAUGUUGUGGCUAUCAUAUCGCUACAGUAGCCAAUCAUGUAUAUAUUUUACACUUAAUAUAUGUUUGAGUUAAACUGCUACUUUGGACACGUUUUUCGAUAUUUUGUGUUUGAUUAUGAGUUUAGAAGGCACAUUUGAGCAUUUUGAAAGGAUUUUUUUGGACUUAAAAGGUGAUUUUUAGUUUGAUAUUUAAGACAGUUAGUAGGUGAGUUUUUGUUGGAUUUUAAUUUGAAAGUUACAAUUGGGUUUUUGGUUGUUUUGACAUAUAAAAGGCUACACAAACCCAUUUUUGAGUUAAAGUACCACUUAAACAUUUUGGAGGUGUUUUGGGGGUAGGGAAAGGAAAUGAUUAGUCAUUUCUAUGUAUGGGGGGCAAGAAUUAAGGUGGGAAAGGAAUAAAUUAAUUUCCCACUUAAUCCUUCUCUUUCUUCCAUAAAUACAAUCACAUCAAACUUUUCUCUUUUUUCAAAAUAUAGAUAUGUUUUUCUUAAUAAUUAUAUUUUAACAACUAUAAGUAUCUUUUCACUUUUCCAUAACAAUUUUAUAUAUAUAUCCACAAAUACACAUAAUUAUGAAAUUUCUAUUAAAUAAACACUCCAAGAUAUUUAAUUAAAUUUAAAUUCAACAAUACUAAAAAUCUAAAUCCAAUGGUUAAUUAAAUAUUCAACCCUCGAGUAUUUAAUUAUGUUCAUCCUCAUUUGUUUAAAUCGAAUAUUAAUGAUAUGCAAUAUCUUAACAUUGCACUUACAAUAUCAAAUUUAAAAAAUGGAUAUAAUUUAUUUCGCACGUAACGCAUCAAUUAAUUUAUUGGCAGGAAAACUUUCGUAUAAAACGUACACAAUUGACAUUGUAUUUACGAAAACUAAUAGAGAGCAUGUUUUCCAAUAAAAAAUCGAUAAAUUAAAAUUAUGAAUAUUUGUGUAUUGGAUUUACUAUACCAUUUUUUUUUAAAAAAAAUACAAGAGUAUGAAUUAAAAAAAUAAAUAAAUAAUAAUAAUAAUAAACUUUUUUUUUGUCAUAAUCCUUCCUCUAUAAUCCUUCUCACUUAUUUCUUCCCCGUAUCUUUGAAAAUGCAACAAAAAAAGAAAAAAAAAAGAGGAGCAUAAUUUUUAAUGUAUUGGAUUUAUAUAUCAAAUUGAAUAACACGUUAAAGACAAAUGAAAAAAAAAAUACAAUUUAUUUGUGAACUAAAUUUACAAUACAAAUUUCAAAAACAUAUUUCACACAAAGAAAUAAUAAUAAUACAAUUUGUUUUGUGUAUUGGAUUUAAUUUUUAAAAAAAUAAGAAAAAAAACUACUGUACAAAUGAAAAAAAAGAAAAAAAAAAACUUCACUUUUGAAAUUGUAAUGAGUGUACGUUAAAGUAAUAAAAUAUUUAUACAAAAUCACCAAAAAUAAAAAUAAUACAAAUUUUUGGUGUAAUUGGAUUAGGGUACAACUUAACUGAAAUAAUGAAUUUAAAUACAAUUUUUUGUUGUAAAUGUUUUAUGAUACAAACAGACAAAAGGUUAUACAAAUGCAAAAAAUAUUAGCACAUUUUCAUUUUGUAUUGGGUUCACGAAAAAAAAAACAAGAAUUUCAUACCCAUGAAAAAAAUUAGUUUUUUUCGUACAAUUUUUUUUACACAAAUGAAAAAAAAUACAAAUUUUUUUAACAUAAUCUUUAUCCAGAGAAAUAUUAUAAAUAAUCUCUCAUAAUCCUUCCAGUUAUUCCUUCUCCCCAAACAACGAUUAGAAAUAAUCAUUUUCUUUUCAUAAUUCCCCUUUCCUUAUUCAUUUCCCCUCAUUUUCCUUUCCUUCCCCCAAACACACCCAAAAAGCUAAUAUGUUAUGGUAAUUAUUGCUAUAGGGUCAACUUUUUGUUCAUACUAUUUGAAGAUGAAUAAGGAUUGGAUUAAACUAAAAAAUAGAUUUUCAAGUGAUUAUGUUGAUGGAGUUUCUUAAUUUAUGGAAGUGGCUAAGUGUCAUGUAAAUGAUGUAGGAAAAACUAGGUGCACAUGUAAGUAUUGUCAAAAUUCAAUGACACAAACAUUGGAUGGAGUAGAGCAUCAUUUAUUUGCGAAUGGAAUAUCUUCUUUAUAUGAUAAAUGUAUUUAUCAUGGAGAAGCAAUGAACUUUGCUAGAUUUGAACAGAGUACUACUUCGUUAGAAAGUGAUAGAUUAAGUAGAGAGUCUGAUGUUGGCAACAAGGACGAUGAUAUUUUAGAUCUUUUAACUGACUUGCAAGGUUCAAUGAUAGCAAGGGAAGAAAAUUUUGAUGACGGAGAUGUAAGUUUUGAUGAUGAAUUUUCAGAAGAUGUUGAUGACAUGGACACUAGUAACAUUUUUAGGAGUUGAUGAAUGAAACACGUAAACCGUUGUAUCCUGGAUGUACCAACUUUUUCUCAUUAAAUUUUUUGGUGAAGUUAAUGCAAAUCAAGAUUCUGAAUAAUUGGAGCAACAAAUCGUUUGAUAUGCUAUUAGAAUUGUUGAAAGAUGCAUUUUCAAUCGGUACAUUUAUAACUAAAUCAUUUUACGAAGCUAAGAGAAAAUUAUGUGACUUAGGGUUAGGAUAUGAUUUCAUCCAUGCUUGCAAAAUAUGACGGUAUAUUAUUUCGAAAAGAAUUUGCUAAUUGUCAAAGUUGUCCACUAUGCAGUAAAUCUCGAUAUAAACAGAGAGUGAAAAAGGAAAGAAGAUUCCAAAUAAGGUUUUGCGUCACUUUCCACUAAUUCCAAGGAUGAAACUAUUGUUUUUUAAUCAAAAUAUAUCGCUUCUAAGAUGAGAUGGCAUAACGAUAAACAGAGGAUGUUUUACGACGAUAUCUAGCUGAUGAUGUAGAAUGGAAGCACUUCGAUAGAGAAUUUUCUCAAUUUUCCUCAAAGCCAAGAAAUGUUCGUUUAGGCUUAGCUUCACACGAUUUUAAUCCAUUUGGGAAUAUAAGUACUGCAUAUAGUAUGUGGCUAGUGGUGCUUAUACCAUACAAUUGUGGCUAGUGGUGCUUAUACCAUACAAUUUGUCCCUUGGAAGUACAUGAAGGAGUCCAAUUUUUUCAUGUCUUUGUUUGUACCUGGACCCAAAUCUCAUGGGAAAGAGAUUGAUGUAUAUUUGCAGCCCAUAAUUGAUGAGUUGAAAGAGUGGUGGAAUAAUGGUGUGCGAGCGUUUGACUGUACAUAUGAAGAGUAUUUUCCAUUAUAUGCAUGUUUGUUGUAGACCAUCAAUGAUUUUCCUGUAUAUGGUGACUUGUCGGGAUGGAGUACGAAAGAAUAUCAAGCAUUUCCUACUUGUAAAUAAGAUACGUCAUCGUUUGGGAUAAAAGGAAAAAUAUCUUUUAUGGGACACCAACGUUAUCUUUCUUCUAAUAAUAGUUGACGUCGAAGUCGACAAUAUGACAAAAAAACCCGAACGCAGGCCUCCACCAAUUGUAAUGAGGGGAGAUGAGACCUUACAACAAAUAAACUCCAUGAAUUUUCCAGUGCUAAGUAAGCAUUCAUCCAAGAUGAAUAAGAAAUGAAAACAUACUAUUAAUUGGAAUAAGAGAAGUAUAUUCUCUACACUUCCGUAUUAGUCUAAACUUCUUUUGAGACAUAAGUUGGAUGUCAUGUAUAUUGAAAGAAAUGUUUGUGACAACUUGCUUGACACUUUAUUAAAUAUUGAUGGUAAAACAAAGGACACAAUCAAUGCUCGUUUAGAUUUAGGAGACUUGAAUAUAUAAAAAGGAAUUACAUUUGCAAAGGCAAGGAACUAAGCUGAUAAAACCACAUGCUACGUCUACAUUAACCGGCACCGAAAGAAUAGACUUUAUAAGUUCUUAAAAUCAAUUAAAUUUCCUAAUGGAUUUGUCUCAAAUAUAUCACGAUGUGUGAGUGUCAAUGAUGGAAAAUUAUAGGGACUAAAGACUCAUGACUCUCACAUUUUACUCUAAUGACUUAUUCUCAUUGUUGCACGAGCAUACUUACAUAAGGGUGUGUGUACAACUAUCGUUGAGUUAUGUAAUUUUUUUCAUGAUUUGUGUGCGAAGACAAUACAUAUCAGUGACCUGAAUCGUCUGAAAGCCAAUAUUGUGAUCAUACUCUACAAAUUUGAAAGAAUUUUUUCACCUGCGUUUUUUGACGUAAUGAUACAUCUUGCAAUUCAUUUACCGGCUAAGACAAAGAUUGUUGGUCCAAUAAUCUAUAGUUAAAUGUAUCCCAUAGAAAGAAGCUUACGAACAUUAAAACAAUAUGUACGAAACAAAGCUUGUCAUGAAGGUUCCAUAGCAGAAGCAUUUCUUAUGAAUGAAUGUUUGACCUUCUACUCGAUGUAUCUAACAGGAAUAGAGACAAGAUUCAGUAGGAAUUCACGAAAUGAUGACUCAAUGAGCAGAAAACUUGGUUGUGGGGACUUUGAUGUAUUUAAAUAAAAUAUGUGACUAAUGGAGGGGUCAAUUGUGAGGACGCUAUCUGAAGAAGAGAGACGAAUGUGUCAUUGGUAUGUUCUGAACAACUGUUCUCAAAUAGAAUCGUAUCUCAGGUACAUUUUAUACAUUCAUUUACUUGUCAGUUCAUAGUGUAUAUAAGUAAGUCGAAAUUCUUUUUAAUAUUUAAUAUGAUUGAUAAGCAGAGAAAAUUUGAGUUUGAUAAAUACCAAAUGAGAGGAUGGACUAGAUUUAUUUAGAAGGCACCAAUUAAAAUUUCCUAAUUGGUUUAAUGUACAUGUAAGUGUUGUUUUUAGCUUCAAAGUAUGAUGUUUUACUAUUGAGGUAUUAGUAGUUAUUCUAACCCACAUAAUAUUAUGUAGAUGUAUUCAUUACGUGAAAAAGGUGAAGCAUCUGAUGAUCUUUACUCCAUAGUGUUGGGCCUAUUAAUCAAGUUCGCACUUACAGUGGUUGCUUUGUAAAUGGAUUACAUUUUGAUUCAAUAAAGCGUGACAAUCGCCAGACUACUCAGAAUAGUGGAAUCAUGGCAUAUGGAGAAACCAAAGCCGACAAAACGGAUUACUAUGGUCUAUUGCAAGAGGUCUUGGACUUAGAAUACCCUAAGUGUAGACGUGUAUGUCUUUUCAAAUGUAAUUGGUUUGGAACCGAUGUUAAGAAGAACAAAUUUUGUUCUAAUUUAGGCUUUAAAAUAAUUAAUACUUCUCGUUUGGGUACACUGAUGACCCAGACAUAUUAGUUACACAAGUCGUGUAGGUUUUCUACACUGACGACCCAAAACUCCGCAAUAAUUGAAAAUUUGUGCAAAAUGUCCAAAAUAAACAAGUAUGGGAUGUCCCAUAAGUUGAAAAAUUAGAAAAAGAGUUGUUAGAAGCAUCUAGUUCAAUUGGGUUUGAUAAAUCCAUACAUGAUAUCCCAUUUUGUAGAGGCGAUGUUAAACCUACUGUUUUUUAUAAUCAAGAGAUAGAUAAUCAAGAUCAAUCCCCAAUCGAUGACGACUUUAUAAAUGACGAACCUGAACAACUAGAAUCUUUGGAUUCAUAUGGUAAUGAAUAAAGGGUAUAUAUUAUAUGUUUAUCAAAUUUAUUUACGACAUGUUAUUUUAAAGUCUAACCACUAAUAAUUAUUUUUGCAGCAUAAUGGUACAUACAGAUCAAGCACAAUUGGCAUUGACUGAAGUUGAACAAACAAACACUACACCAGUUGAUCCUUCCACUCAUCAAGACGGUAUUAAUAUGAUAUGUAAGUUUAUUUCUUAUACAUUACUGAAAUGAUCUAAAAAUAGUUUUACUUUUAGGAUAUCAAUCACAAACUAAAAAGUGAGGAAAUGAUGUGAGAGGAUACGGUCCAAACAUAGAAUUGGACAAAUUUGUAGAAAAACGUGGAAAGAUCAAGAUAGAGAUUAACAAAGAGGAAGAAAAACCAAUGACGGCAUUUGCCCCUAAAAUUGGGUUAGGCAUUGGUACUGUCGUUCGAAACACUAUUCCAUUGAGUUGAGGGAAUUGGGAGGCGGUACCUAUAGGCGUAAGGAAGCUCGUGAUUGAUCGGUUGGAGGUAUGUUUAUGUUUAAUUUAUGCCUUCUUAUAUUGUUUAAAUGUAAAAGUUGUCCAUUUAUACAUAUAUUAUUAAAUAUGUAGACAAAUUUUGAAUUUGACCCAACUGACAUAAUUGUGAGAAAAUACUUAGAAAAAAAGAUGCAUAAUACUUUUAGAGAUCAAUUUAGAGCAGGUUUGAAUUGUAUGUACUUGAGUUGAAAUAUUUUGUGGCUAUCCUGCGGUGGCAACCAAUCAUACAUACAUGACAUUUUCAUAAGAACUGUCCACGUUUCUCUGUAUCGGUAAAGACGAAUAUUCUUGUAGUGUUUGUUGUUGGACAAGAUUGCAACAACCUCCUAUAUGAUAAUGGUAAAUAUAUAUACAAGAUUUUCAGGUUUGUUAUAUUUUAAAAAAUUUAUUAAAUACUACAUAAUAUAUAUUUGAAUAACAAUUUGAAAUUAAAUUUUAGAUACUCCUCAUAGAAUAAUGCCAAAUAAAAAUACAAGAUUUUCAGCUAUUUUAUAUUUUUAAACAAUUUACUAAAUAAUAUAUAAUAUAUUUUUAAUAACAAUUUGAAUUUGAAUUUUAGAAUUGUAAUUAUGUCUCAAUGGGACUUUUGCAAUUAUUUGAAUCUUCUUCUUUUAUGUUUUAUUUGAGAAAAAAAAAAAAAAAAAAAGAAGAUUGAGAGGGGGGCAACCGAUGCAAGAGACAAACACUGUGUGAGAGAGAAAUUUUUUCUUUUAAACAAGAGAGAAGAAAAGUGCGAUCGACAGAGAGAAAGACGUCGGAGUUUCGACGUUAGUGGCUAUGGGCAUCUGACGGCAUCUGACGUUGGUCAUGAGUUUGCGGCAAGUUCUGACGUUCUGGCGUUUGUUGGAGUCAGAUUUAGCCAACUUUCAUGGAUUUAGCUGCAAGCAGGAUGAUAGAAGGCUCGAGCAGUGUUUAUGGUGAGUUUCAUCGUUCAUGUUUUGUUUUUCAGCCUUGGUUCUUCUUAGGGUUUUCAGUAGGUUAUUCGACAUGUGAGUCUCCGGUCGGAGGAGCCGGCAAGAUGAAAAUUUCACAAUCUUACGUCAGAGGAGCCAACAAGAAGAAAAUCCAAGUAUGAAGAGUUUGAAGAGUUUGAAGGGGACGAGCUGGAAACUCCAAUAGUUUCUGCAACUAUGGAAGUUUGAUGUUGAUAUGUGUUAAUUGUGUGUUGGGAGUAAGAUUUUAAUUAUAGGGUAUUUGUGGUUUGUUUAAUAAUUAUAUUUAGGAUUCAAUUUUUUUUAUUUAGGUAUGGGCAUUUAAGACAUUUGUUCGUGCAAUUAUUUUCUUAUACUUUUUUAUUUUUCUAUUUUAUCAAUUUAAAUAAAGAUUUGUUGUUAGAGAAAUGUGUGAGAAUGGCAAAAUAACAUUGUGGUGUUUGGAAAAUAGCAAACAUAAAAAGUAAUUUGAUUUUUAGCAAAAUUGCAAAAGAUAUAAUUUUUUUUUGAGAAUUUUUCAACCGAUUUUAUCUCUUGAUAGGAUGACUAUCAUUUUGUUAAUUACAAUGUAUUUGUGAACCGUAAAAUAAUAAAACAUAACACAUAAUUACGAUUACGAUGCAUUUGGAUAUCAUUCAAUUUUGUAAUAAUAUUAAAUAAAUAUUUAUUUUAUCUAUUAAUCUCAUUUAACUAAAUUAUAGAUUCAUGUCUUAAAUUUAUAACAGAUUAUCCUAUUACUUAAUUGUAGGUUUUGUUGGAAGAUUAAAAUUUUAAAAUUUAAAAUAAUAUCUUUGGUUUAAAAUUAUGCAUUUUAUAUAAUAACAACUUCAUAUAAAUGGUGUAUUUUUCCUAUAAUUAUGCAUAUAGCAAUUAUACCAUAUUCGACCAUAUUAAUAAUAAUAAAUUGUUAAGCAUUAUUUUAGAGAAUAAAUGGUAACAUAACGAUAAUGCAAUCUUAUUAUAUAAUUAUCAUUAAAUUAGGAACAUUUUCUAUAGAUAUUAUUUACUACCAUUUAAAAAUUGAGUUUAAAUUCUUGCAAAUUCUCCUAAAAUCGUAUUAUUACAUUGAUCUCCCUAAAAUAAUGACAAACAUAGAUUUAACAUUUUUGGAUUAUUUAUAUUCCAAAAUAUUUAUAAAAUUACCCUAUUUAAAUUUUGUAUUUAAAUACCUCCAAAAUACAUAUUGCUCGUAACAAAUUGAAUUUAAAAUUUUAUCUUCCUCAAAAAUUGUGCUAAUUGGUUGAUUUUUAUUUUUAAAAAAUUGUUUUAUUGUGCCAAUGGUAGAAAUAAUUAUUUUCAGACGUGUUUUUAAAUUACGUUAAUAUCUAUGUUUAUUUUCAUCUAGUAAGAGUCUCAAACACACCAUAAUUGUGAUUCACAAUCUUAUAAUUUUAUAGUCAUCUAUUAUACAAACAUAUUUCAAUCAGCAGAUUUGGAAUACACAAAAAAAGAUAAAAAAAUUUGGUCAUCAAGAUGUAGUAUCAUUACCUAUACAAUUUAUUUCAAUAGGUCAAAAAAACGAGAUAUGAUAUUGAAAAUAACAUAAAUUUACUUUAUUUUGUAAAUAACAUUCAAAUUUGAUAAAUCUUAAUUAAACAUGUUAUUUUGUACAAUUUAUUAAAUAAUACAUGAUAUAGUUUUAAUAACAAUUUGAAUUUAAAUUUUAGAUCAUUCCCUAAAAUUAUAUAUAAAUCCAAUAAUUUCACUUUUUUAUAUUUUUAGCCAAUUUUACUUGUAUAGAGGAAAAUUCUUAUCUUAUUGGUAUAGUGUACUUGUGUAGGUUAAAAUGAUGAAAUAUAACUCAGAAUCACGAAUAUAUUGUAUUUGCAAAUCAUUAAGUUGUGUAAAAAUAUUAAAUAAAUAUUUAUUUUCGAAAUGAAUUUGAUUGAAUCAACAUCCCCUAGAUUUAAAGGCUGCAAUUUAUUCUAGAUUUUCUUGUUUGUUGGUUUCAAAUCAAGUAAUUAACAAUUUAUUUAGUUGUGGUUGUUCAAAUUAAAAUUGUAUCUUACCCCUAUAAUUAUGAUGCAUUUAAUGUAUAUAUGAUUAUUCUAAUAAAGUUUUGAUAUUCCUCUAUAAUCAUGAUACUUGAUUGAUUUCCUAAAAUGAUGUCAAACAUAAUUUCAAAAUUUUGGGAUUAUCUUGUUAAUAUUCUUUAUCUAUUCUCCAUAAUUGUUAUUUAAAAAUAGAUUUUAAAUUUUGAUUUGAAACCGUCAAAAUAUUAAAAUUGAUUUAAAAAUUUAUAAAAAUAGUUAUUGUUAACAAUAAUUUGAAUUUAAAAUUUUGUCAUCCCUAAAAUCAUGCUAAGAUAUCUUUAUAUCUCCAAAAUAAUAGCCAACAUAAAUUUAACAGUUAUUUAUAUUCUAUUAUAAAAAAUAAAUAUUUUAAUUUUGGAAGGAAUUAAUUGAGAAGAAAAGAUUUGUUUUAUUUAAAUUGUAAAAGAAAAAAAAAAGAAAGUGAAGAUAUUUAAGGGAAAAUAAUAAUAUAAUAAUAUUACUAUUACUAUUCAUCAUCUUCGUCACUCUCACCAAACCCUGACUGCCGCUGACACCUCCAUCUUCGUUCGCCAUCCCAUCCAUUCUGUUGAUCGAGAACUAAACCGCAAGGAAACAUCUCCUCUGUUGCACGCCACUAGUCGCAUGUUUACUUCAUCCGAAGUCAAGCGUCUUUGUGCCGCUUGUUCAUUCGCAUCGCGCGUCGCACGCUCAGCCGCGUCGAUCUCCUUUGUCUGCAUUCGUUCACUGGUUAUACCAAAACUUCCAGCCACAAAACUUCCAGUCACCGUCAAUCCCCGAAUUUUAGUGACUCUGUUGUUGUGGGGGUUUUGUGACAUACAAUGUAUCUUUUCUAAAAUUCAAGUUGAUAUAUUGUUGCUAUAAUUUAACAAACGAAGAAGAAAAUCCAUUGAAGAAGCUCACUUUUGCGCGAAACGAAAAAGAAUCUAUAAUCGGUUUGAUGAAGAAGAUGGUUGGCAAGAAGAAAUUUUUUUAAUUUGCAGUAAAUGUAUAAAGACUUUGAAGGUUUUGAAGAGGACGAAGCUUAAAGCUCUAAUAUUUUCUGCAAAUGAUCAAAGACUUUGAAGAUUUGGUAGAAUCUACGAAAGUAGAAGGUAAUGAAGUUGGAUUCUUUUCGGCUUUGAAUACCUAAACAUACACAAUUUCAACAAGGAUGUGUUAUUUAAUUACAAGGUAUUUAGGUUUUAGGUAAACAAUUCCACAAUGGACUUAGCGUUUUUGUGAUGUCAGGACGAAUCUUAAAUUAAUGGCCAAAAGUUCUUAUUCAAUCCGAACUACAAGCGAGUAUUAAAGAAAAGAAAUGAAAGCAAGGGCGAGAGAAGAAACGGAGGUGAUGGAGCAUAAAUUAAAACGAUUUUGGUCCAUACACUAAUCACAAAUUACAUUUUAAAUAUUUUUUGUUUUCUUGUUAGGUUUAUCUCUUGCUUUUCUUUUUCUCUUUUCCUUCCUUCAAUUCAAAGGAUUUUUUUCAAAAUAUUUAUAAAUAUAAAAAAAUAGUACUUUUAAUUAGCCAUCGAUGGUGAUAGGCUUAUCUAUGUGACGAUGGACCUAGAUUGCAGUCUAUCUUGAUUUAUUAUUAAUAUAAUUGUGAUAUUUUGAUAUAUUUAGAAAUUUUUUCAUUUAAAAUAUUUUUCUUGUUAUAUUUUGAGUGUGUAUAAAUAGAUUAAAAUUAAAGGGUAAAAAAGGGACAAAAGGACAAAAAGAAGGGUAAAAAAUAAAAAGAAACGUUAGGAAAAAGGGGAAAAGAAAACAUGACUAAAUAAUAAUGAGAAAAAAGAAUGGAAAGAAAAUAAUGCAUUAAAUUAUAAAUUUGGUCGAUGAGCUUUAACAUCCGUGUUUAUCUUGUCCUUAAACUACCAAACUUACAAACUUUAGUUCUCGAUCUUUUAAGUUUUAUCAAAAUUUUCAUAAUCUAUUAAAUAAAAUAAAUUAAGAAUUAAAGUUGGGAUGAAACACAAAAUCAAAAUUCAAAGACCAAAAAUUAAACACAAACCAGCUACGAGUUUAACAACUAGAUUUAUAGGAGAACCAAAACACAUAAAUUAAAAAAUAUGAAUAAUAGAUUCAUAAACUUUCAUCAUAUCCAAAACCCUAAACCUAAAAUGAGGGAACACAAACUAGACAUGACCAAAACUAUUUUUUCAGAAGUACCAAUAAUAGAUUUGAUCACAUGACCAAACUUAGAGCACAUGUUCUUUCUAAAAUAUAUCCAAAGGGUAGCCCUACCUGCGUGAUUUGUUGAAGUAUACUCUCUUGGGGACCUCAAAUAAUUAAAUUACUUUUUCCAUUGUUUUAUCUUUUGUGUGGAUUUUUUUCUAAAAAAAUUUCACGUGAAGAAAGAAGGCCUUAGCUAAGCUCCAAUAAUUCAACUUGACAUUGUACCCUAUGUAGUAAUCCAAGAUUUCAAAUAAAAUGGCACGUGAAAAGUUAGUUUUUUUUUCUUUCCCAACUUGUGAUUAUAUCAUUUUGGAACCUAUCGUUCUUAGCAUUUAGUGCUAGAUGAAGACUCAUUUGCCGUAUAUUUGAAAGGAGAGGUACGUUGACGCUCCUUGUUUCUCUCAUGUUACAAUCCUCUUUUGUUUGAAACCUAUUUUAAUUCAAUCCACAAACACAAUAAUAGAGGAUUGAUAUCAACCUUUCAUUAUGGAAGAUAGAAAUUUUGAAAUGAAUCUAGCAAAAAAACAUAGAAGUCAAGCACGAUGUUGUGGUAGAUAAUGAUAAGCCAAUGAGAGCAUAGAUGGAAAUACACCUAGGAUGGUAACCCAAUUAGUGAGUGUAGUCACCUAUUUCGAAGAUUAGUGUAUUAGAUAAAGAGUCGAGAGAUUAUCAUUUCAAUGGUAAACUCUCUCUUUAAAAACUAUUGUCACACACAAUAUUUUUUUGGUAGCCUUAAAUGAAAUCUCAUCAAUACAUCAACUACUCAUCUUGAGUUUUCACUUUCACCUUUAACUAAUUCGACAGUACAUGAAGCCAAGUAAUAAUACUUGGUCAGAACAAAAACUCAUAAAUUAUAGACGAAAGCAGGCAGGGAAGCAAUUCAAACUUGACUUUAAAGCACAUGUAACCUGUUAUAUGUAAAGUAGUAAUAGCGGCAAAAUUUUAGGGUUUUAGUGUUUUACACAAUAUAGGUUACUCUAAUACCAUGUCAAACAAUGUAAAUUUUCUAUCUUAUUUCACUUAGAAAGAGGGGAUUUCUUAAAUAUGUUUGGAGAAUAUAAUAAAAUAAAUACAAAAAAAUAUUAAAGAAAAAGGAAACAAUCAAUUAAUUCAUGAUUCAUGGUUGUUUCAAGCAUUACACAAUAAACACUUCAAAACACUAAAAUUAUUAGUAAAUACAAAGAGGUUUAUUCGAAACACGUUAAUUAAUUAAUUAACUUGAGAUUAAAAACUAAAUAGUCGACCCACACCUUUCAUGCAAUUGACAAAAAAGAAUAUUCAUCUAAUUUUUUAGUGUCUGAAUUGAUAACUUUUCUUAAAUUGAAGUUUCAUUAACAGAGAGUUCAUUCUUUAUAUAUAAAAACAUACUUAAAAUUGGUUAUAUAAAAUUUUUAUUCAACAUAUAAUAUGUAAGUGAGGAGAUGGAUUGUUUGAAUUCUCUUAUCUAAUUUUAUACUAUUUACUAACAACUAUUAGAAAGUAAAGGAAAUUUAUUUUCAAACCCCACCAUUACCUUUUAUUACCUUAAGAAAGGACAUAAACAUAUAACCCUCAAAAUUAAACCUUUCACAAAUCUUUUCAUCCUGCACACUUCACCAUGGCAAAAAAAAAGAGAAAGAUAUAAGGAAAAACAUAACAAUGAUAAGUUCACACUAACAAAUUAACUCUAAACAACAUUAAUUUUACUUCCCUACACCCUCAACUCUAAACCCUCCAAAACUAUAAUAUUCCCCAAAACACAAUAUGAAUAUAUACCACUUGGCCCAAAACCACCUCCUAGGGUUUUUUAGUGGCUUCUCAUUCUAUGGUGUUUUAGGGGUUACGUACCUUACCUUCCUGAAAUAUUCACGAGGGUUUUUUUUAUUAGGGGUUUCUCUUUCUAGGGUUUUUAGGGUAAUCGGGGAUAGUUCUUAACCAGCGCGGUACUGCCACAAGCCAAAGCCUUCGGCGGAAUCAUUCCCACCAUAUGAACUCCUUCGGCAAACACAACUCCCAUUCCCAUAUGCAAAUGAGGUUCAAUAUGGCAAUGGAACGCCCAAACACCUGGGUUAUCCGCCACAAAUCGAAUCGCCGUCCACCCAUAUGGGAAAAUCACCACUGUGUUCCUCAACGGUGGAUUUUUCAAAUUCAGUUUCUUCUCAUCCUCGGGGGCGUAAAAUUUCCCCUCUCCAUACCCCAAAACCCAAAAAUCAUGGCCAUGCAAAUGCCAAGGGUGAAUCUCACUCAUAUUGGGGUUUAACAUAUUAGCGUUUUGUAGAAUCACAUCUACCGUUUCCCCCAUAUUGAACUUGUAAACGCCGUUGCCCGUUGUCGUUUCAGGGUUCGGCGGUGGGUUGUUGAUGUCGUAGUUCAAUGGGAAUGUUUCUGGUGGUGGAUUUUGGUUGAAGGCAGUGUUUAGCCUCAUUUUCAUGGCGGCGAGGUACGGCGUUGGAGGGAGAGCUAAAGAGACAUUGUUGAUGGCCCAUUUCAUGAACCCGUUUAUUCGAUUUUGGGUGUUGAGGAGGAAGAGUCGGCGGUUGUAUCUCACCGGUGGCUUUGGACUGCCCAUGGCAGCGAAGAUUCUGAAUGUGAAGUUUUUGCUCCGAUCAAAAUCCUCCCAGUGGGGGGUUUCCGGAGGUGGAGAAAUGGGUAAUUUGGAGGCGGAGUUGGGGAGGUAAUUGAGGAGGGUUAGUCCUGGAGGGGUUUUGGGUAGCCGUGCGCGGACGCCGAUGGAUACCCAGUAAUUUUCCAAUGGGUUUUGGUCGGUGGUAAUGAGGACGGAGUAUGACUCGCCGGAAUAAAUGUCGAUGUCGGAAGUGACAAAUGGUUGAACGUAGUUGCCGUCGGCUUCUACCACUAACAGUUCGUGAUUCUGCAGAAGAAGAGGAGAAAAUAAUUAUUAAAAUUAGUUUUAAAUUCAUGGAUAAACAUUAAUGUUGAAAGUUGAAGAUAUUAUUUAGUGAAAAAUUAAAGUUUAAAAAUCUAAAAUUAAAUGGAAAUGAACAAUUUGAAACUUAUAAACUAAAAAGGAGAUUAGAAUUUUUUGUUCAUAAUUAUUCAAGUUUACUUUUGAUUAUUUUUAUUUUGAUUUUCAAUUACUAGUUUGAAGCAUGAAUAUGAAUUAUUAACAUUCUAACAUGCAAUUAUUCUAAAAAGGACAAAACAAAAAUGAAAUUUUGAUCCAUUUCUUUCACCACUGAAAAAGGCUAAGAUUUUGUUUUGUGUAAUUAUUAUGUGCAUAAUUAGAGAGAGAUGGACCUCAUUUUGUUAUACCUUUGACAAGGAAUUAAAUAAAUCUUCAUACUUAACAUACUAUAGAUUUCAUUUAAGUGUAGAAAGAUUUGUAUUUAGUACUCUACUUUUUUAUUAUUUUUCUCCCUUUCCUUUUUUGUUUAUUAUUAUUAUUAUUAUUACUUUCUUUAUAAUUUUCUUUUAAAAAACUAUUCUAUAUCACCCAACUUUUAUAAAUAUUUACUAAUAUAACAAAUUGAUAUCGAUCUAUCAUCUAACUUAGUCUAUCAUAGUCCAUUUUCCAUAAUAGAUAAAAUAUGAAUUUUGCUAUAUUUUGUAAAUAUUUUGAUUUAUUUUAUUAUCAUCUAAAUUGAAUUUUAAAAUAAUAUUUUAUUAUUUUUUUAAUAGUUUUUGUACCCUAAAUUUAAUAAUAUAUUAUAAAAUCUUGUUUAGAAUUUUGUUUCCUAAAGUAUAAAUGUAGAUCCCCACCACAGUACAUCUAGAUCUCAAACAUUUAUGUGGUAACCUUCAACUUUAACAAUUAUUCCAUAAAACAUCUUCCCCAUUAUUAAAAUAAAUGAUAAAAAAAAUGAGGCAAUAGUUUAGAUAUAAAAUCAAAAGAUGGGAUAAGAUCACAUAUUAUUUUAAUCAAAUUAUACAAAUUUAAUCAUAGUAGUUGGGAUAAUUUUAGGAGUUAGUUCCAUAGUUUAUAAAUUACAUAUAUUAUUCACAACUAUUAGCAUUUAUUUCAUCUAGAAAGAAGCAUUAAAACUAUUUAUAAUGUAAAAUCACCUUGGUACCUCAAGGGUCACAUCAAUAAAUAAGAAUAAGAUAUAGUAAAUAAUAUCACUUAUGCUUUACAAUUUCUUACAUAUUUGUUACUUCUCAAGUGGGUUUAUAUAUGUGUGUGUAUAUAUAUAUAUAACUAAAUAAAAGUAUGAUUAAAAUUCUAUAUUAAUAAAAGUACAUAUAUAGAUAUUUUAAGUUUAAGAGUAACAAUCAACUCUCAAGUAAUAUUUUUAAAACAAAGUGAAGCAUUUAAGUGUUAUAUAUAUAAUUGGAUUAGAAAAAGAAAAGAUAAAAAGUAAUAUGAAUAGGACAAGAAAGAUGGGAGCAAAACAUGUGGGAUACCUAAGAGAAGAGUUGGUCAAUGGGAAUCACAUCAUAUUAUCAAUACCAAUAUGUCCAAAAUGUCAGAAAUGUUAGAUUAGGUUAUCUAUUGUUUGUACUCUCCCAAACACUGCUACAUGUGUUUAAAAGUAAAUUUAAAUAUUAUCUCUUAAAUUGCUAUUUUUAAAUACAAUGAAAUAUUAUUAUAUUAUAAAAUUUUGUUAUAUUUAUAAAUAUUUAUGUAAAAAUUUAUAUAUUAAAGGUGGACGUGGAUUAAAAUAGAAGAGAUUUAAUGUAAAGUUUAAAUAUCAAAACGAAUAUUUUAAAGUAUAAUGUGAUAUAUUAUACUCCAGAAUUCAAACCCUAAUAUUCUUAUAGUCAAUUUUGAAAGGAGGGUAAAGUUGAUAAAAUGGCUUUUGAUUGUUUGGUAGCUAUUAUUCUCACUAGUGAAAGAGAAGUUUGUGUGUUUUGGUUAGUUUCCUCUCUCUCUCACACACACACAUAUAAUAUAUAUUUGCUUUCACUAACUACUCCCACUUUUAGGACUUUAUGAGUCAAAACCUUUGAAAUUAUUGGAAGUAAUUUUCAAACAAAAAGCAACUUUCAUACUUCUAACACCUUUUUAACAUAUGGUUUGAUAAAGCUUAAUUAUUUCUUUUGUACAAUUUGUCAUUGGAUGGAGUUACUUUAUCAUGUUUCUUUUAGAUUCAUUCGUCGUGAUUGAAAUUGAACUACUUAUUAAUUUACUCGUUGAGGCUAUUUGAGUGAUUUUUGGAUGUUUAAUUGUUUAAAUUUGAUGAUUUUCGACUGUAAUAUCGAUUUAGAAAGUUUAUUUGGUCAUUACUAAAGGUUAAAUAUCUUUGAAAACUGCUACAAUUAUUUAAAAUUGAAAGAUUAAAUCAUAGAAAAUACCUCAAAAUUGUCAUUUGUUUAAAAAAAAUUAUACCUUCAAAAGUUUAAUACAUACUAAACGUGGAUGGAAUGAAGGUGCAUCGAACUAUACACCAAAACACACAUCCAAUGCCAAAAGUGAAAAUAUUUCAAAAUUACUACGAAAUAUUUACGAAGGGUUAGAGGUAACACUUGAAGGUUUCAAUAUUACUUCUAACUUUCAUAAAUAUUUUAAAAUUUCCUUCGUGACAUGUUAAUGAUGUGACAGUGACCCGUUUUAUUACAUGAUUUCAAGUUUAAUUUUAUGUAUAAGUUAAUACAAUCACAAUAGUUUUGAAAAGACUAGAUACCUAACUUCAAUAUAAGAUAAUUUUGAGACAUUCAUGCUAACAAUUUUGUUACUAAUUUUUUAAUGUAUUUAGUCUUUAUGUUUUAAUCCUUUACCGUUCGAUAAAAAUUUCAUUAAAUAUAUUCAAUCUAAUUUAAAGAUUUUAUCGAAUCAUAAAAACUAAAUUCUACUUUUUUUACGUGAUACGACUAAAUUUGUGACUUAAACCAAAAUGAAAGAUAAAAAGAAGCAAGACUUACUCCAAUGGCAAAGUUGAGGGAAGCCAAGGCAGUGGUACUAGCAAUUCUUAUCCGAUAAGUUUUCUUGGGUUGAACAUGUAGGAUAAAUGGUGCACAUUUUUCUUUUCCACUCAACUCACAUUGCUUCAAACCUUGGUUGUAUUUGGCUGCUAUUGAACAGUCAAAUUGCCCUUUCCCAUUUAUCAAUAUGCUCUGAAAAAUAGUAAAAACACACAAAUAUACGAAGUUACAAUAUUAUUCUUGAACAAAUGUGAAGUAUAUAUAUAUAUAUGCAGAAUUUUAGAUGGAAAUUAAGACUGGAGAUGAAAUGUAUGGUGUUGGCAUGACAAAAUUUUACUUUAUCUUAUAUUCUCCCUAAAUGAAUUUUCAAAAUUUCGUAUUUUGUUUGUGUUAUAUAAAUUGAAUAUAUUUCAAACAAGGGAGGAUUGAUUUUGAAAGUGGGAGAAUAUAUAUAUUUUCUCCAAAUAUUUUUUUCUUUUGUUAGGAGCUAUGGCUUAACUUAGUACAUGUAUAUAUAUAUGUGUGUGAGAAAAGAUAUACAUGUGUUGUUUUAUCCUUGUAGUUUGAACAUGGUGUUCUUUUAAUUAGAUUAUACAUUAGAAAAUUAUUGAAAAAAUAUUACAUUAUAUUGAUAGAUGUUGAUAAAAUUCUAUCAAAUUCUAUUUGUGCAUUGAAAUUGUGAUCAAAUUUAAAAAAAUUUAUUUUUAUAAUGUAUUGGUUAAUUUUGUUUUUUAAAAAUGUUCGAUAUAUAUACUUAUCUUUUAUACCUAAACAAAGAAUAUUUUAAUUUAUUAAGCUUUCUUUUUAAACAGUGGAUUAUUAUAAGAAAAAGAAAGAAAAGAAAAGAAAUGGUCAUUGAAUUAGUUAAUAAUUUAAAUUAAGGAAAUUGAUUUAAGGGUAAGAAGGACAAAUUAUAUACCCACCAACCUCUCAAGUCUAUUCAAUCUACUAACUUUUCUUUUUCAAUUUUCAAAAUGCUUUAUUUAACAAAAAUAUAUUUUUUUUAACAAAUGAAAGCAGAUUCUUGAAAAAAAAAAUAGAAUGAAACUACUUACGAAAUAUAAAUAAUUUCGUCACCUAUUCAACGUUAUUCACAAGUUUGUAUGCAAAAAUAUAAAAUAAACAAAAUUCAGAAUAUGUACUUACUUACAAGUUUAAAUAAUCACUGACAUACAAAACCUAAAAAGUUAUGAACACUUAUUUUAUAUUUAUAACAAUUGAAGUCAAUUAUUUAUCUUGUUAUCAAACAAAUAUAAACCAAUCAUACAUUGAAAUUUUCAAGUCAAACAGUACAAGAGAUGAAGAAAAAAAUGAUCACACACACACACACUUCAAGAAGAGGAAUGGAAAAGGACAGAGGAAAAAGAAUAAUUGGUGGAAUAGUGGUUUUGGUUGUGUAAAGCAAAUUUCAGCGAUGCAUUUUUUCUCAACUUUUUCUCAUGUGUAAUAAAAUAGGAAAGAAAACAAUUAACUUUAAAAGUGGUUUGUUGAUCAUCGUCAUUUAAACAAUAAUAUCCAAAUCUCAACUUUACAUAAUGAAUAACACUUCUUGAUUUUGAAAAAAAAAAAACAAUUAAUUUUUACGCUUAAUUAUGUUAAAAACUUUGUGUUGAAAAUGUGUUUUAAAGUUAUAAAUAUGUUUAAUUAUGUGUUAAAAGUACAUCUUUAAUUUAAAGUUCUACUCGUUACAUCAAUCUCCAUCUUUUUUAAAUUAGUAAGUAGGGAUCUUUUUGAAAUACAAAAGAACAAAAAUUAAACUUUUCUAACCAGUUAGUGAAAAGAAAUUAAACUUUUCAAAAUUAGAGGCAUGUUUCAAAAGCUAAUGAGUCUUCUUUUUUUUUCCUAAUUUAACUAAAUACUAAUAAAUGAUUGUCAAUUCAUAGUUGAUAAAGUAGAGAUGGACCAAUUGACACUACUUUAUUCAUACAUAUUGUCAAAAAGAACUAAAAAAAGAAUACUUAGUUGGUAAAGCACUAAUUACCUGAGGCUCACCAAUCCAACGCAUUGGUUUGGAGCUGAGACCAACUUCUUGCUUGUGAACACUCUGAUGCCACCAAUCACUAAGCAAUAAGUUGAUCUCUUCGUCAUAAUGGAAUGGCUCAGAUCUUCCUUCUGGUGGAUCCACUAUCAAAGAUCCAUACAACCCAGCCGAUCUUUGCAUCCCUAAAUGGCCAUGAUAGAAAUAUGUCCCAGCCUACAGUAAAAUAUGAAUAAAUAUUAUAAAACAACUUGCAAUAUUUCCUAUGGACUCAAUACGUUUUAAACCCUUCUUACCUUAUCUACCACAAACCGGUAAGUGAAGGUCUCACCCGGGUUAAUGGCACACUGCGAGAUGGAAGCAGUGCCAUCAGCCCAAGGAGUACCUCGUUGUAGGAUUCCAUGCCAAUGAAUAACAACACCUUCAGUGUGGAGCUUGUUAGUUAGCUCCACAACGACGAUGUCGCCAGCGUUGGCUCUAAUCGUCGGUCCAGGGAACUCGCCGUUGAUUCCCAUAACAAUGUUUUCAACACAAUCUGGCGACCAAAACAUGUACUCAACAUCCCAUUUGUAGUGUUUUAUUUUGGGAAAACCUGCCUCAGAGAGAGUUAUUCCAAAUCCAAAAAUGAUUGACAAAACAAGGAAGGAUAGAAAAGGCUUGGGGAAGAAAGGCUUAUCUGCAACUUUUGCCAUUUCGAAGGGUUGAGGAGAUGAAAGGGAAGAAUAAUGAUGCAAUGAGGAAAAAGGAAGAAAGGAAAAAAGUGGGAAGUUUGUGUGUAAGAUGCCACUAGAGUUUGCAAUUUGCCUCCUUUUUAUAAUGAAAUUUUGAGAUAUUUUGUUUACCCACUCCCUCUCUUUCGUUAAGUCAAGUGGUUGAUUUUAAUUCUAAUUUUCAUUUUUAUUUUCAUUUGUUGUGUGUGUGUAUAAUAUAUAUAUAUAUAAAUAUAUAUAAUUAAUUUGUGUGUUUAUACUUUUUUCUUUAAAAAAUUACUACAAAAGAAAUGGAAACUGUCUCUCAAUCAAUCUCAGACCUAUAUGAAAUGAGAGACAUCUAUGGAAAGAGAUUAAAUUCAAAUGUAGGACCCUAUAAAUGUUGAUCUAUAAUAAUUAAAUUAUAUAUAUAUAUAUAUUAGGUUUGCUAUAUAUAUACACACACUAUGAAAGAUUCCAUUUAUCUUUUAGGUUGUUUGUUUUUUGGAUCUAGAUAAUAAUCAAAGAGCUAGUUGUUUCAAUGUUUGGAUGUAUUUAUUUGACUAAGUUAUAAAGUAAUGCUUGAAAAUAUCAAUAUUAUUAGUUAUGUUUGCUUUGUAAAAUUUGUGUGCAAGAAAUAUGUGUGUUGAGAAUUAUGUUAUAUACCAAGAUUGUUCAAACAAAUUUUAGGCAACUUAAAUUAACAAUAGUUCGAUACAUUGUUAUGGAUACUUUUUGGGUUAAAGUAUAAAAUCGAUAUGAUGAUAAAUAAGAGAAAGUCAUCGGGUGAUCAAGAAAGCAACAAUAAAUAGGGGCUCGCUAUCCGGCCAAGAUAAUAAAAUUGGCUUAAAGAAAAGAACUAAUUUGUCCCGAUUGGUUUGCUUCGACCAAGGCUGAACCUACACAAAACAUAUAUCGUUACAUCCCAUGCAUGAUGUGAGCUCACACACGAGCCUUAAGAAGAGGAUUGACUUGACCUAAAACCACUUCGAUCGACUCUACUUUGUCCUUUGUGAAGGCUUAACUCACUAAGUCAAACCUAUUUUAAUGUUCUAGAACAAAUUAAAAGAGAAUAUUUAGAAGCUUAGGAAAACACUCUUCCUAAUUAAGGAGAGGAGAAUCCAAUCACCCGCUUUAUAAAUAAGAUGGUAAAAAGACAUAAAAUGUUAGUCGUUCUCUCUCCAGUAACAUCAUACUAUAAUAAAAUCUUUAGAUCAUUUUCCUUGUUUUAAGUAACAAAGUGUGUGACGCCCUAUAUCAUACCAGUGUGUCGUUCUUGCUAAUUAACUCGUAGUUGAUCUUCUUCACCAAAAUAUAUAUUUAUCAUAGUUAUCGCUUUGAGGUCAGAUCAUUUUACCUGCUCAAAUUUUAGAAAAUUAUUUAAAUUCAUUUAACAUGUUUUCUUCGUGGUAAAUUUAUUUAUUCAAUAUUUUAAUAUUUUAAUUUUAUAUCAAUUAGGUAUACACUAACUUUAUUGGUUGUUAAAUUUUAUUUAUUCAACUUUACUUGAUGGUGAUGGUUUUGUAGGCCUUCGGGCAUUUUGGUUCUUUAAUCAAUGAAGUUCUUUUGAAUAUACAAUAUAUGUAUGUUGUAUAUAUAUGAUUUAUUAAAUUGUAAUCAUUUUCAAGAAAAGACAAUUAAUAUUUAAUUAUGAUAGUUUUAAUAGAUCACGUUUAUUUGAUUGCAAGAUUAUAAUUUUUUGUGUGAUUUUUUAGUACAAAACAUUGACUUACUCAAUUAUCCAUCUCUGAGUCGGUAACUAAUCUAUUUUUAUCUCAAUUGAACUAUAUUGAGUUGAAUAUAUAUAUUUAAUAAUUUAAAUUUUAAAAGUAAAAGUGGAUAAUUAUAUCAAAUAAGAAUAUGAACAGUUGGACACUUAUGAAAUCUAGUACGUUCAUGUUUACAAACUCACUUCAAUUCUUUGAAGAAAAAAAACAAAAUACAUGUUUAAUAUGUUAAGGCUAAACUAUGAGUUUUGAUCCCUAUAAUUUGAAUAAUAAGGUUAAAGUUUUAGUUCAUAAAAUCAAGAGUAAUUUAUUAUCAUCUAACAUAUUGAGGGGAUAACCACGACUACUUUACUAUGUUGAAAUUAUUAAAAUGUUCCCAAUUUCUAAAUUAUGUUAUUAAAUACACAUUGGAAACAUUUCAUUCAAAUUUUUUUAUUUAAAUUUUGUGUUUUCAAAUUUCUAUUUUCAAACUGUCUUUAACCUACAUAUUCAUUUAAUAGAUAUUUUAGAUUUUUUCCAAACAAACAACUUCUUUAUUUAUAUGCUUUGUUCUGUGUUUGUGUUUGCAAGUUAAGUUAACGAUUUGUUGUAUUUAACAACAUUCAAUGAGUCAAAAACUAUAUCUAACUUAAUUAACGAAAAGUAUAUAUCACUUCGAUAAAAAAGUGAAAUUUCAUAUCCUUUUCUUUUCAAAAAUCAAGCAGGGUAGGUCAUAUCAACACGCAUUUUUUUAAAAUAUUGUUGUUUCAAAAAGAAAAUAGUAAAAUAUGGUUGUUGGUAAGAUAUACUUUAUAAAAGGAAUAAAAUAACUGAAAUUAUGAACUAAAACAAAUGUAAGGAUUGGAGUGGGGAAAUGGUGAUGUUAUAUAAAAUAUAGACAAGUUGAGACAAAAGUAAGGAUAAGAAAAAGUGCAUCAAACUUUUUAAUUUUCAAAAAUCAUUCUAUUUUUCUUUUUAUAAUAUAUAUAUAUAUUAUAAAGUUCUAAUAUUUAAUAAGGUAAAUCCAUGUAUAUAAUCUUGCUAUUUAUUUUUAAACUCUCUAACCACCCAUUAUCGAUUGAUGGAUAUAAAAUUUUGAAUAUACAAGAAUUGAAAUAUUUAAAAUCCUAAAAAUGUUCAUUUUUGAAAAUUGGUGAAAUAUAAAAAGUAAAUGUUUGUGUUUAUUUUAUUAGUUUUUGUUUACAAUAAUUCUUCUAAAUUAAAGGUAAUUGUUUUUAUUAUAAGAUUGAUCAAAGUUAUGUUUAUAAAUAUAGGAAUAUUUUCAUUAGCUCUCUUAUCAAUAAUAAAUAUUUUAUUAUUUAGUUUAUAUUUAAUUAAUUAAUAAGGAAUAUUCUCCCUAAAAUUAGUUUACAAAUUAACUAAAAAGUAAUCAAUGAUUAACUUUCUCUCUCCUCUAUUGUUCAUUUUUCAAAGAAAAAUAGGUCUAAUCUCCAAUAAGAACAAUAAUACAAAUUAAUUCAAAGUUUAUACUCCAUUAUGAUACUUUUAUAUUUGGAUAAUAAUUAUCUAUUUAUUAAAAUAAAUAUCCACCGAACAAACGUUAGUUGAUGAGAGAAUACAUUUUCUUUUAAACAUUUUCUUGAAAAUGAGUUUAAAUUUAAACAUUUACAUGUUUGAUUAGAUUUUUUUAUGAGUGUUUAUAUAUGAAUUUUGUUUAAUUUAUCUUAAACCAAAAAUGUUUAUACUUAACUCAAAUUAUACCAUAAAUGACUACUAAACAGUAUGACCUAAUUUCAUAAAAAAUACAUAUAUUUUAAAUUUAAAAAAAUAUAUAUACUUUGAAAUUAAUGGCACAAUCUUUUGGAACUAAUUGUUUUAAAAUUUUGAAAUUAGUAAAGUUAGAACCAAAAACAUUAUUUUUUUAUUACUUUUUUUAGAUAGUUUUAUUUUAGAAGUAGAGGUAUACUGAUAUCUAAAUUCAUAAUCAAGAUAAAAAAUAAAAAUAAAUAAGAGAAAAGAAAAUUAAUAAUAACACCAGAAAUAAAGGGAGCUUGAUUUAUUAUAUUGUUUUAGUAAUUAUUCAAAAUAAAAGAAAGAAAAACGUGAGAUAAAAAUUGCCAAUUUUUCAACUUUAAUUUAUAAAAGUUUGGUUUUUAAUGAUUUCUUUAAAAUGAAUUAUUUUAUAAACGAUUUUUUUAAAAAAAUGCAUUAUUCUAAUUUUUCAUAUACGAAAUUUUUUUUUUACAAAAUUAAACACUUCAAAAUCUCAAUCAAACACAUCAUAAUUCUUAUUAAUUUUUAAUAAACUUUUUGUCGUUUGUAAUUAAGUGUGUUUAUUUAUUUUAUUAGUAGUCUUCAUCUUUUUCUAAUUAAACAAUUUUAGUUCAAUUUUAACACGAAAAUAAGUUUUAAAAUGAUAUAUUAUCAUACCAUGAUUUUGUUUGUGACUUUUUAUAAAAUUAAAUAAACCAAGUGAAGAAAUCAAUAUUAAUUUUCUAACCAUAUUUUUAAAACAAUAAAGACCCAAAAACAAGUUUAAUUACUCUUUUAUAACUAGCAAUAAACUUUUUCUUUAGUACUAAUUAGCAAUAAAUUAUUGAGUACUGUGUUUACAUUAUUCGAACUUAAAUUGUGGUAACAUUGGGUCCCAUUUCUACUUCUAGGGCUUAUUUGGGUUUUCAUUACAAAUCACAAUUUACACUUUUGUUAACCUAAUUUUUUUCUACUCUUCUUUCUUAAGGUCAAUUUUCAAUUAGAAAGUUUCAUAAUAUAUAUAUACACACACUUCGUUUUUCCAACUUUUUCACAUUUUGGUACUUUAGAAAAUAAUAAUAAAUAAUAACUAUGUAAUUUAAAAUUUUCUAUUUGUCCACCCUCGUAUUUUCGUAGUUGUCGAUCAUGACUGAGUAUUUAGCUAUAAAAAGGAUUAUCCAAUAAAUCAUCCAAAAGAGAGUGAUUUUAUUUAACAAAGUAUGGUGGCCGACUCAUCGAUUCAACAAUUAGAAUGACUAAAUAGAUAAUUAAUUUGAACUGAUUAGAAACAUAAAGGUCAACUCUGAGACAAUCAACCAUCAAAGUUAAGAAAAUCAAUUAUGUGGAUUUCAUGAAGGUCGACUCAUAGGGUUAGUUAUGGUAGACAAAUAUAAGGCCUAAGCAUGUAGAUAAACCCAUAGAAAUCAGAGUGGCUAUAUAACGUAAGAUCAAGAUCAACAUUACGAAGGCAAAGAUUAUUAUGCCUAAAUAAGUGUUUUACUUUUACAUAUGUUUGGGUCAUUAGUAAAGUAAAUCCACCACUUCAUAGCGGCUAAGUAACGAUUUGAUUAAUGAAUCAAGAAGUUAAUUAGCAAAUGGUCAUUACAAAUACGUUGUUUUUUUAUAAACAACAGGGUGCAUGAUGCUUGUUCGCUUCCUCUGAACAAGCUUUGAAAAUUCAUGGUUGGUACCGAAGUUUGGUAUUGAAAAAGUAUAAAUAAUUGUUCAUAUUACUUUUGUUCAUAUAAUGUCAUAAAAGGAAUAUUUAAAUGCGUGACAUAAAAGACAAUAACAUAUCAUCAAUUGAGGAGUCAAAUCACCCAUGGAAGAAGUAUUUAUGACAGUGGUACCACAAAUUUCAUACACCCGAUGUUAGCAAGUUCCAAGAUAUGUUAGUAACUCGUUGAAACAAGAUGCUUUUUACAAGAAGCUUUUAGUUCUAAAAUGGAAUAACAAUUUAUUAUUUAUUUGCUUUUAUUUUAAAAUGAAAGUAACAUAUCUUAUUUAGGAAAAUUAAUUUUGAUAUGAAUUUAUAAAUUUUCAAGUCAUUGAAAAAAUACUUUUUUCUAAAUUUAAUUAGGGUUUUAAUCCAAUUUAUUUUGUAUCUAGAAGUUACAAAAGGUUACAUUCUACGUUGAUGGAGUAAAAAUUUCAAAUUGGUUUGAAAAAAAUAUGGUAAGAAAACUAAUUAAUAAUUAUAAUUCUUCAAAAUUAAUUAACAUUAACAAUAAGUACCAAAGGGGUUAUUUAGUGAAAUUAAAUUUAAUUUAAAAGUUAGCCGCAAAAUGAAAAUAAAAACUUAAAACUUGGGUAGAUAUAUAAUAUUUUGAAACUUAUAGAAAAUGAAUCUUAAACUUAAAACUAAUGAUAAAUAUUAUAGUAGUUCAAAAUGUAUAAACUAACAUCAUGUUUACCGAACUAUAAAAAAAAUUGAUGUGAUUAUGAAAAAAAAUUUAUUGAUGGAUCAAUUGUAAUGAACUUGAAUCGUAAAUAUAACUAUAUUGUUUUUUUACGGCGUUUACUUACAAUCAAGAACUUUGUCAUAUUUAUUUUUACUUUUACCUCUAUCUCUUAAGGUCAAACAGUAACGUCGAUAAUAGUAAAAGAUGUCAAAAUUGAUAAUUUUUCAGUUGUAACAAUAAAAAUAACAGUAGAGAUAAUUAUAAUAAUAAAGUUAGCAAUACAAUGUAAUUUUCAAAGGAACGGUUGCAAAAAUAACCAAAAAUGUUAUGAUAAUAGGUUCUAUAUUAUUAUAUUUUAUAAAUUGCAAAAAUAACAAAUUUAAAAAUCGACAACCUUUUAAUAACCCUAUGAUAUAAUUAAUUUUGUCAUAUUAGCAAUAUAUAUAGAAAAAUAAGUGUUGUUGAAUAUUUUUUUCUAAAUGUUUUUAUCAUAUCAUACAAUUUUUUAUUUUGAAACGUAAUGAAAUUAUGAAAAGAAGUUUUUUGGAAAAAUAUAAAAAUUUGAAAAUUUUGAAAUAAUUGAAAAGAAAAGGGAAAACGCGUUAUGUGAUUUGAUUGAAUUGCAAAAGGGCAGGCCGAGGCUGCUCCCUUUAUUGUUUUUGUAUUAUCACAUAUCUAUAUUCAUUUCUCACGUGGGAAAAUGAAAAUAAUAUCUCUUCUUGCUCCCUACCCUUAUUAUCUACUCCUUCCCUUACAUUCCUUUUCUUCCACUUUUCUUUUAAUUUAAGAAUUUUUAGCCUUAAAGCCAAGUGAUAAUUGACAUCUCAUUUUCGAUCUGGCCUACAUGUGUGAGAUUUUGUCUUGGUAAGUUUACCAUAAUAGGAUGGUAACAAAUAAUUAAGGAAACUUUAAUUUUAUAGAGUAGGUCUACAAAAUAAUAAUGAUGAGUAUUUUUAAUAUAGUAAAAUAAAUUGAAAUAUUUACGAAAACAUACCAACAUUUCAUAUUUUAUAUGCUCAAUUUAUAUAUAAAACAUUGUAUAAUUGAAGGUUCAGUCCAAUAAUUGUAAUAUUCAAUGCUUCACUUUACUUCACUAUAAAUAUACUAUAAAUAUUCAAUAGAGUUGUCCAUUAUUUCAAAAGCAAAUGCCUUUACAAUGAGGAUACUGAGAUUUCCAUUCUUUUUUACUUGCAUAUGCAAAACUUUGACUAACAUAAAACGUAUUAAAUUCAACACCAAACAAAUUAAAAUAAUAUACAUGUUUUUUUUCACCCGUUUUAUUUUAGUACAAUAACUAUGAGAGAGAUGAUUGAGUAGACUUUUAAAGAUAAAAUUGAUGUCAAUCAUAUUAACCUAAUUAAGCUCGUUUUGAUAGUAUAACUUUGUCGAUGAUACGUUAGAUUUUCGUAAAGUUAAAAGAUUCAAAAUUGAUAAAAAAAUAAUUUAAAAAAGAAAAGAAAAAUGACAAAAUGGUGAUGUAGGAUUUUUUUUUUCUAUAUUCGUAAAUACAUUGAUAUUUUUUGAAAUACCCCAUUCAAAAUUCUUCUUCAAAUUUAUGAAAUUAGAAAAAUUAAAUAAGUUACAAUUGUUUAAUUACUACAAUUCAACCCAAUAUUAACCAUAUAUAAAUUAAUUAAUGAUUCUUCUCAAAGAAAAAUGUGUAUAUAAAUUAUCACCCCAAUUUUGUGGCACUAAAUGACCCAUUUUGUGCACUAAACAACAACAUUGAUAAUUACUAAUUAAUAUUAAUUAGUUAAAUUUUGAUUGACGGAUGACUUUAAUUAUUUAGUACUCUUAUUGAUGAUCAUCAUCAACUUGGCUUGAUACUGAUAUGUUUAGAAUAAAUGAUUGAUUUACAUUAAUUAUGCAAAUAAUUGUUUAAACAAUUUGAGAUGGAAUAUAAUUAUAAAAAAUGUAUAUGGAGAAAUUUUGAUGCGUAUAAAAAUGUCAAACUAUUUACCGAUAAUAGUAAGAUCGAAAAACACUUAUAGACAUUCAUAAACUUUAUCAAUGAUAUUCGUAUAUCGAUUUUCAUUACUGAUAGACAUCAAUAAAAUUUAUGAUAUAGACUUUUAUAAGUUUCUAUCUGCAUCUAUUAGUGAUAAGAUUAUGAAUUAUUAUCCAAAUAUAAACUAAAUCAAACCACACGAUCGUUAAGUUUGAGAGUGUAACGGUAGCUGCUUGUGUACCACAAAAAUAGUUUUUGAGAUUUAUCGGAUAAAAUAAUAACGUGAGCACAUGGCAAAAUGAAGUACGUUAAAAUAAAGAAAAAGGCAGUCUACCCCACACCAUAAACAUAGCCUUUUGGAGUGGGGAUUGAGACAACUCACUGUCCAUCUUCAAUAACUCAACUUUGUGUGUAACCAUUGCUUCAAUUCAUUAUUGGAUAGGACGUAGAUCUUUUAAGUUCUCUACUUCUACUUCAAACCACAAACAUUUAAAACCAAGUUAUUAUGAUUAUUAUUAUUUACUAUGUUUUUAUAAAUAGAGAUGCGAAUAGCACAGUUGGGAUUGAUUCAGUUAUUUAUUCAUUUCUUUAUGUUGAUCAUAAGCUAAAGAAUAAGAAUAUUGUAAACCAAAAUUGUUUGAUCGAAAAUAAUUUACAAAAUUUUAGAGAUUUGAUUAUCUAUUCCAAAACGGUUUGAUGUGUCCUUAAUAUAACUUUUGAAAUUAAAGGGAUUCAAUAUGGGUUAUCCUUAUACUCAAGUUCAAAAGUUAUUUGACAAUGGAAUAGGUACAUUCCAACUAAUAGGGAUUAAGUUGCUAAAGUGAAGAAUAAAUAAUACACUAAUUUUAAAAAAAUAAUAAAUAUAAGAAAACUCGAGGGAAAAAUCAACUUUUUCUUAACUUGGUAACGUAAAUGAAAAUGAUCGAAACUAAAAAAAAAUAAGGGGUCUUUUUAAAAAUAUAACAUAGCCACAAAAUAUUUACACGAUAUAUAACAAUUUCAAAAAUGGAAAAAAGCCCACACAGAUCCACCGUGAGAAAUACCAAAAAUAUCACGUGAUUAAUUGACAUCUAGUGCGCAUAAUUUUCUAUACCAUCGUUUAGAUUUGGAGUCAAGUCUAAAUGAUUUUUUUUCAAUAUUUUUUGGUACACGAUAGUUUAUAUUUGAAACACAAUCGUUUAUGUUUGAAAAACAAUCAUUUAGAUUUGACCUUUUAAAUUUGGCUACCCAGAUCUAAAGAAUUUUUCUUUUAAAAUUCUUUGUACAUAAUCGAUUUUUUAAAGAUUUUUUGUACACGAUCGUUUAGAUUUGACUAUCUAAUAUCCUAACGAUUUUUUUUUUUUAACAAUCUUUUAUUUUUGGAACAACGAUCUUGAACCAAAUAACAAUUUGAAAAGAAAAAAAAACUGCAGAAGAAAAAGACAACGAAAAUAAGAGUAGAAAUACGAUGAAAACGAAUGACAGACUUGAAAUAUUUUUAAAAAAUAGCAAGUUUGAUGGACUUUUUUAUUUUGUUACAUGGACCGUAAAUGUUUCACUGGACUGUUAUAUUUGUGAAAAUUAACGAAAAAGAAUAAGAGGAUUAUGAUUUUGAAGAUUGAAGAGAGUUGUAGGAGCAUGUGGUAUGAAGUUUGAUGAAUGAUUGUGAUAUGAUUUUAUAUGUUGUGAGAUCCUUUUAUUGCAUGUUGCAUGCCAAAUGAGUUAAGUGGUAAUUAUAUACUCUCUUAAUAGCAACUAUUCACACACUAGUCUUUGUCCCUUCGGGUACACCAAUUACUUUGAAUAUGUCUCACCUAUAAUACUAUAUAUUUAGUUAUUAUUCACUUAAAUGUUUCUUCAUAUAAAAUAUUUUUGUGUAGCUUCACCUCUAUAGUGUACGUAUUUUAAAUAUUCAUCCUUUCAUGAAACGUGUUAUUUUAAUCAACAUUUUAAGGGAUUCCAAAACCUAAGUUUGUUUUGAAAUUCCUACAAAAUUAUUUUACUCAUGUUUUAUUUAAUCAUCUAAUAAAGAUGUUUAUUUUAAGUAAGGAGGCCCCCUACUAUAAUUAUCUAAAGGAUCAUUUGAUUCAAUGUUUAUCUUGACGGUCAUGUACGUCAAGAAAAGCCUUCUUGUUUUGUUGAAGGAAAUAUGACAAAAUGUAAAAAAGAAAAUGUGGAUUCUUAAUUUUCUUGAUGGACAAAGUAAAGUUUUCUUAGUUUUAUUGAUGAUUCACAAACGUCAAGAAAACUAUUUCUUGAUGGACAAUACACAUCCAGGAUAAUAUAUUAGUUGGACUGACAAUAUUAGGUUUUUUUAUGAACGAUACCCAUCAAGAGAUGAAUUUUUGUGAUUCGCAAUAGCCAUCAUUGAAAAAAAUUAAUAUAUUUCUUUUGAAUUUCUUGAUGGGUCUAGGGUUUCUUGAUAGACAAAGACAAAAAAAAAAAAAAAUUAUGGGCAAUAUCCAUCCAGAAAAAUGGUAUGCUCGUCAAGAAAUUUUUUUAUAAUUUUGGGUUUAGGAUAAAAUCAUUUGUAUGACCCAUUAAGAAAAAUGAUAUGUCCAUCAAAGAAAAAAAUUAUUUUUCACAAAACACGAAAUUUAGACCCUUGUUAACCGACUCAGUGAGCACCAUAUUCAUCAAUAAAUGCCUUAAACAUUUACUAUUUUUUUUUCAAUUAUUACUUUCUAUUCAUCAAUAAUACAAUAUUAUUUUUCUAAAAGUUAAUUGUAUUAUUACUUUUCUAAAAGUUAAUUGUUUUAAUUAUAACUAGAUUGAAAUAAAUGUCUUUAUCAAAAUAAUUAUUGUGUUUAACUUUAAUGAGUUUUGAAGUUUGUAAUUUAGGAUUUUUAAAAUUUGUAGAAACUGGUUAACAUGAGCUUAGUUCAACGGAAACAUAUAUGCACAUGUGGCCAAGAGGUCCCCAAAUUCAAAUAUCACCACUUGCAUUAAAAAUUUGUAGAAGCUGUUUAUAAAUUUGGAAUUCAACGUUACAAAUGUUAGUACAAGAAUCAAUUAGCAAGGAGCUAAGGUGGGUGUGAGAAAAGAUGAACUCAAGAUCAUGAAGAUAAAGUCUCGUGUGCAUGUAGUGGCGGACGAUAAACUCCAAUUAACUAGCGAUUAUCAUUUUGAUAAAAUCUAAGAUUUUACUAUAUUUUACAAAUAUUUUUAACAAUUUUUUAAUUAACUAUCCAUUUCCUAAUAUUUAAAUAACUUUGCAUACUUCUUCAAAACUUUUAGAUUAAAUUAAAAAAAAAAAGUUAUAAAGAAAAAAGAAAGUUAGAAAAUGUCAGAAAAGUCAUGAAAAAAAGCUAUGGUUCACUCCACAAGUGACAAUUGCUAGAAAAUGAAAAACUGCCAAAAGGCAACAAAGGAAAAACACAGUUGCCCAACCUUUAUCAUAUAUAUGUAUCAGUUCUUUUCCAUCACUGUUUUGGACCAAUUAGUUCAUGAUUUAAAUAUGAAAAUACAAACACAAAAUGAGAAAAAAGGGGGGGUUCACUUCACGUGAAUCACUAAUGCCCACACCAUAACCUACUGCCCCAUCGUAAUUAAUGUAUUGUUACACACAAAAUCCCAAAACUUAAACAUCCUGUACUGUGCUAGAGGGUGACGGUGGGUAGUGCCAUUUGCCAACCCAAGCGGGCACCAAACAACGAACCCAACAUCGCAUCGCCCUUGUAAGCAGCAGUCUACUCAACAAAAUCCACAAGCUUCGUAUAAUAACCAUCCCCAGCCAAGUUUAAUUUAUUGCACUGAUAAGAAUCAGUACAAUCAGACAAACUGGAGGGGAGGACCAAAAGAGUUUACUCUAAAGAGACAAACCUAAUAGUAAUUGCUUCAAGAAUUUUGAUAUUUCAUUUGUAUUCAACCUUGGUACAACUUGCAAAAGAAACCAAACAUUUUUAAUGCUUACUUUGAAGUUUUGAGAAAUCAUUGAUACACACGUUUUAAUUUUGAGGAUUAAAAAAUGUAAUUUAUUCUGAAUUCUUCUAUCAAAUUAAAAUAUUAUUUAAGUUUUUUAACUUGCUUCCUGUUUUGACUCACAAACUUCCUCACAAAAAGUUAAAUAAUUACUCAACUCUACUAAUAUUGAAGUUUGUAUAUUGAUUGAAAAACUCUAUCAAUGAAUCCAAUUGUUUCCCCCGCCAAUGACAAAACUCGGGUGAUAUUCAUUGCUAAAGACAUGCUUUGAUGACCACUUCUAAUGUCUAACUUCAGAAGCACCUGUUGUUGAUGACCACUACUGCCCUAUUCCAACUACAAUGGUUUGAUGACCACCUCUGGCAGCAAACCCCAAUAUUUUACCACCUCCAACAAUCCUCUCCCGCGACCACCUCUGGCGUUCAACUCCGCUUAAGUACUACUACCUCCAACAACCCUACAUUAGUGAUCACCUACAGUGACCAACUGCGAGCACCAAGUUAUUGAUCAUCUUCAACAUUAACUCCCAAUGACCAUCUCAAUCAAUCAUAUACUAGAAAAGCAUGAUCAUUAGUGAAAGUGUUUUAUAAGCAUAAAAACAAUGGGUUAACAGGUACACCCAGAUCAUUUCCACUAGAUGAACAUCUCCUUUAACACUCUUAGCAUUCCUACUUUAUUGAUGAUCAAGAAAUACAAUACAUGAAGCAAGGAACAAGUAAAAAGGGCUAGAAAUAAGUCAGAACAAGAUCCUAAAAUUAUACAAAAGCUUGAAGAUUUACAACAAUAAAGCUAACAAUGUAAUUGUUAAAGAGAUUUGAUCUACUAUUCCAAUAUCUGGUGAGAGUUUGAAUGUCUUCCCUCCACCAUGGAACUAUUCUUAUUCUUGAAAUUUUUGUUGUUCUUCUCAAACCAAAUGGUCCAAAGGAACAAAUGAUGUUAAAAACAAUAGUAUCUAUUUUCCUUUUUUAUGCCACAGAUGUUCUUGCAUAAUGAAGCUAUAUUGUUCAUAAUGUUUAACAAUUGUCUUAUAUAGUAAUCUUACAUUAAUAUAAAUACUUUAAUUUGAGCAUUACAGUCAAACCAAGAAAUUGUGUAUGAAAACACUUCAUGAGAAAAUGAACCUAAUAACCCAUUUGUAUUUUUUAAAAAUAGUUUUUAAUUAUAAGAGUUAAAAAUGCAAAUGACUUUCUAAAAAACAUUUUACAGCUCAACCAUUGGAUACCACCAUGAUUGCAUCUUUUCAAAUGCUCAACUUCUUUCUUCAACCCUCAUUACAAGUAUAAACUCUAAUGAUUUUAUUUUUAUUUUCAUCCAAAAUGUCCUCUCGUAUCAUUCAAGAUAGUUAUCCUUUCAUAUAUACUCAUUGUUGCGAAAUCAACAAUUAAAUAAUAGAAGAAUAUAAAGAUCGACAUAAAAAGAUAUGUGUGGUUCAUUAACAGUGUAUUAGCUAUAUUCACGUAUAGAGAAAAAAACAAAUAUUAUUAGAGCGAAUGUUUUCACAAUACAAUAUAUGACGUCACUGGAUUAGAAAGUUUAUAUAUAUGCACUUCUCUAAACCUUAAGCUUAAAAUCAUAAAUAACAACAUAUGCACAUCUCAAUUGUUUAUUUAGUGCCACAUAAAGAACCCAAGAAGAACACCCAUGAUUAUGAUCCUCUCAUCCAUGCAAUGUGCGUGCGACUUCGAUCACAUUCCUAAUACUAAAAUAGAGGCAUAAUACACUGCAAUCUACAAUUUGACAUAAUGCCAUACAAAGUCCUAUGCCACCCCUUGAUGAAGUACUACGUUUUUUAUGCAUUUUACUUUGAUACAUUCUAAUUUCUACUAUUCAGAAAGUGUAAAUUUUUUAUGUUUAAUUUGUGUAAAAUAAUAGUAUUUUGCAAACCUCGAGUAGAAUGGUUACAUAUUUUUAGGAGAAUUGUGACUAGCUAGAGAGAGUCAUUAGGGUACAAUUAGUUUUACUCACAUUAUAAUUAUGGUCUUUUUUUAAUGAUCAAAUUACUUAAAUCAUAUAUAAUUAUAUGAUUUUUUAUCCGUCGUUGGGAUUAAUAAUUGGAAAAUUACAUCAAAUAACAAAAACAUUUAGAAAAAAAACAAUUCACGACACUAAUUAUUUUGCAUAUUGUGAAUAUAAAAAAAAAGAGUGAUAUCAAAUGAUUAUCAGACAGUAAUCGAAGGACUAUCAAACGAUGGUCAUAAGACUAUGAGACAAUCACCACUUUUAUAUUUGUUAAUUUUACAAAUUUAGAAAAUAGUGUGACAUGAACUCUAUUAUCAUAAAAAAAAUUCUAUUUUUGCAAAAGCCUCUUAAUAAUUGUGUCUCAUCAUCGUGAAAAUCAUCCUAAUUUAUCUAAUACAUUAUUGGAAGAAAGAAACUUUCAUAUUCUUUUUUCAUAGCUAUUCAUUAUUAAACAUGAAAAUAUAAAAGAUGGACAUUGGCAUCCAACAUAUUUACUAGAGCUAGUUAUAUAGUUUAGUAGUUAAGAUAUAUAUCUGUAUACUUUUAACCUCAAACGUCAAAGUUUGAUGUGAUUCCAACUCUACAAUUAUUGAAUUUAGAAAACAUGCAUAUAUACAUAGAUUAGAAAAAAGUAUAUAUUAAAAGCAUGAAAAUUUUUCCAUUGAUCUUGAAAUUGUAUAGAGUAAAUAAGGGACCUUGGAAGCCAUUUAGUAGCAUCAUUUUUCUGUCGUAAGCUUUAAGAAUUAAUACUACUUACUACUUGUUCUCUAAGUCAUCACGUCUCGGUCAUGUUGGCGAUUGCAAAUUGUUGGAAAAAUAAAUAUCAAUCAUUAUUAUGUUGUAUGUUGAACCACUGUCUUAGAAACAAAACUUUGGUCCAAUCUUAGUGCUAAAUCGCAUAUAUUGGUUGUUCCACAAGAUUAACACAUCUCUAUUGCUCUUAAUUUAAAUGUUUUUGUAUAAUCUACUUUUUCGGAUUGGUUUCUGACUUUGGAUCUCCCUUGGACUUUCCUCUAGUCCUUAUUUUUGCUUCCUUGCUUCAUGUACCUAUCGUUUAUUAUUAAUAGAACGAGAAUGAUGAUGGUGCUACAAAUGUGUCUACCUAAUGAAGAUGUUUCAGUGCAUCUGCUAACUCAUAUCAUAUUUUUUUAGAAAAAAACGUAUACUUCUCUAACUCACCGUGGAAUGGAAUCAAACAAAAUGUUACUCAAAACAAACAAAUGAAAGUUUCAAAAAAGAAGAACCACUCCCAUCACCAAAAUCUUUCUUCAAAUAUAUAUAAUAGUUUUAAAUCUAUAAUUUUUAGUGCAUUAAAAUAUAUUAUUAUAACCACAAAACCAUUAAAUAUUCUAAUAAUUAUCAUUGAAACAUUAGUUAUAAAUCAUUACAAUAAUAGUCAUUCAAUUACACAAAUAUCCUAAAACGAGGCACAAAUCAUUACUAUAUAAAUUCAACUCGUAAUCGUGGCAAGUAUUAAGAGCAUCUUGAAUCAUCUAACAGCAUUCUUCUACCCAUUGGUUGGGUGGAUCAAAAUCAGUUGCAAUAUCAACACAUCCUAAUAAUAUGUAAUCACUUGCAAUUGGUGGAGGUGGUUGAUCAGCAGUGACAAAAGAAAAGAAAAAAGAAGGUUGAGAACUGGAGAAGAAGAGAGCAAGUGAAGAGGUUUUGUUGGAAGAACCCAAAAGAGGAAAUUCUUAGAGAGAUAUUUUUAGAGGGGUGAAAAGAUCAGUGUGGUAAUUAUGGAAGGGUUUCUAUAGGGUCUUAAGAAAGAGGGCUGUGCAUGAGCGUCCUGGUGGAUAAACUCAUUGUUAAUUAAGUUAGGCUCAUUAUCUAUAUUAAUUGAUUUGCAAAUCUUUAUGAAGUGGAGAUUACAAUAUUUGUUGAUCAUAUUUGCUGUGAUUUCCACUAAAUUACUUUGUCUUUCAGUGUUAGUGUGAUUUAAAAUAAGCAGGCAUUCGGUAUUUUAAAACUCAGUUAUUCCUCUCAAGUUGCAAUGCUGAAGAUAUUAUUGAUGAACAUAACAAAGUUAAUUAGUGGGCUAACCCAUUUUCUAAGAUAUUGGGGAUGAAAAAAAAUAAUUUUAAUAAUAAGUAUGCAAAACCUAAUGGGAAUUUGACUUUUCUCCAUGUCCAAACCAAAAUUAUCUCUUUAUGAAAAGAAUCAUUAAAAAUAUUUUUUAUUGGCAAUGUCAUCCAACCAUUUGUAUUAGGUUAAUCCCGAACAACGAAAUUUUACGUUCACCCCAAACUUAAAUCGCUCUCAAAUUUUGUGAGUAGAGAUUUCUUGAUUUGCAUACUACUUCAAACAACAAAUAUUUCAUGAUUGACAUGACUUAUCAAAAAAGAGUUACCUUGACUUUUCAUGGCUAUCCAACGAAUUCAAAAACUGAAAAAUCAUCAUUUUUACGAGAGACGACUUACAUAUUUAAUUUGUUUAUCAAGGAAGGUAAUUUUCUUGACGAACGUGCACAUUCAAGGUAAAUAUGAACAUUUAUUGUAUAAAAAAGUAUUUUUUUUUUAUGGUCAAGAAAACUAAGUUUGUGUGCGUAAGAAAAACAAAAGUUUAAAUGAAACAAGAGCAUUUUGUCGGCCAUAAAUAAUACAUUACGUUACGUACGUAUACAAAAAGAAAUGUAGAAUUUAUGUCUUAAGUUAAGUUGAUAUAUAUUUUUGUACGGUAAAUAUGUGUGUAACUGUAGUGUUAAACCAAAAAUUAAGCAAAAAAUUUAGUCUAGUUUUAGGUCAACAACAAAUGGGAAACAAAGAUUUCUUAACUUCACUGUCAUAUUAAUUUCAGAUUUUAGAACUUUACUCAAUUGGUCACUUAGAAGGCUACGUUUUUUAUUUUCUAUAAAAUAAAGUAAUGUAUUUCAAUAUGUCCUUUCUUUUAUUAUCCACAAAUAAGUUGAAUUGUCCACUUGUCACUCACACAUAAGAUAAAAUAGACAAAUGUUAUCACAUUUAGAAAAGGUAAGAUAUGAUUGUACGUGUAAUCUUGUAAGAUAUGUCGUUUGUGUUUCAAUAAUUAUUCAUGGAAUUCAAAUAAUUAACUCAUCACGUUUCUUGUGGUUCUUAAUUAUAUAAAGUUUUCUUUCUGUCCCAUUGAUUAAAUUACAAAUGUACUAUAUCAUAUAAUUGAUCUCUAAUCACAUCAAUAAUAUGUAAUCAAUUUUUUUAAUUUCUAGUGUGAAGUAUCUUUGGUAUAAUUUCUUUUUUUUUUAUCAUUACUUUAGUUUAUUUAAUUAACAAUAAAUUAUGAAGAUUAAAAAAAUAUCUAACUUUUGAAACAAACGUAUAAGUCAGCUUAAAUAAUGUUACUCUCUAUAUUAUCAAAAGUAUUAAUUCAAUGUAAUGUUCACACCCAAUCGUUCAUGCCAUUAAAUCUUAGUUCGCUUUAAUAAUUGGAUUAUGUUUGUGUGAACGAAAAAAACUGAACUGAGUUUAAGAAAGAAAAAAGUAUUACGAAAAAUAUCAUCUAUAUAUAAAGAUUUGUCGGUAUAUAGCAAAAAAUAUAUCUUGCGAACAAAUUUUAAGUUUAAUCUACUGUAGCCUUUAAACUUAGAUUUAGGUUGGAAAUACGCUCAAAAUCUUACGGCGGUUAAAUAAUAUGAGUUUAUAAAGGAAGAUACAAUUAUUUCUAGUGGUUAUGAACUUUUUAGAAUGUGAAACUCAAAAGAAAGUCUUGAAGAAAGUCGGUCUAAAAGUUGAUAAUAUCAUAUCAUUAGAGUAAUAUCUGACAAUUUAAAUAUUAUUUUUCAAUACAAUUUUGAGUUUAUUUAUUUAUUAUUAUUUUGUAUUUUAAAACUUUCUAAGGCCCCAAAUUAAACUACGUAAAGCUAAGCUUAGGUUUUCAAUAAUCCUUCCUAACUCUUUUUUUCACUAUUCCACGUCUCUUUUUCAAUCAUUUUCAAAUUUUGAGAGAUGGAUCCCACACGUCAUUUUCCACUUUUCUACAUUUUCCCAAUUUCCUUUUCUCUCUCUUUCUUAAUUUAUUUCUUUAUAACAUCCUUUCUUUUUCUAUUUUAUUCCUUUUUUUCCUUUGUUGUCUCUUUCCUUCUUUUUUUUUUUUUCCUUCAUUUUCUUUUUCAUUCUUUUUUUUUUUCCUUUUUUUUCUUCUUAAAAUAUAUAUUUAGAGUGUGUUUGGAGUGGAAAUUUACGACGAUUAGAAAAAUGAUUAUAUGGCUCAAACAUUGUAUGGGUCAAGGUUUUCCAUUUUUGAGGAUUAGGGUUAAAAAACCCUAUAAACUAUCAUACUUUAUCUUUUCAUAACCCUACAAAUUUUCCUACUUCACCUUUUCAUAAUCCUACAAAUUUUUCUACUUCAUCUUAUCAUAAAAUUACACUCAUAACUCUUCUCCCAAACACUUGUUAUAAUAACACUACAAUUAUAACCCUUUCCCCAAACGUAUAUUAUCAUAAUACUAUAACAAUAAUCUUUUCUCCAAACACAUAUUAUCAUAACACUACCAUUCAUAUUACUUCUCCCAAACACAUAUUACCAUAAUACUACCAAUAAUAACCCUAACAUCAAACAUAUAUUAUCAUAACACCAUCAUAAUCUUUUUUUCCCAUAACUCAUUCCCUCCUCCAAACGCACACUUAAAGUUUAUUUUGUAGACUUUUUCACUUCCUAUAUAUGAAUUAUAAUUGUUCUUUUUCCAUUGUUUACUCGUAUAUUCAAUAACUCUUCUCUUUACAUUUUAUUUUUAUUUGUUUUAGUACAAUAAUUUUAAUAAUAUAAGUUUGUAAUUAUAUGUUUUCUAUUACAUGGGCACACAAAAAAAAUAAAUUAAUGAAAACUAACGAUUCAAGCUAAAUUUAUGAAAUGAGUUUGAACGUCACAAUUAAGAAGAUUAAAAAAAUUAAUUUGAAGCAAAAUUUUGUAUUUCAUAGAAAAUAUAUAUGCAUAAAAAAAAAAAAGAUUAGUGCAAAAGAAAGAUUGAAGCUUAAUUUAUGAUAUAGACGUAGUAAUUAAAAAACUUUUUUCAUUCUGAUGUACCAUAUAUAUGCAUGCAAAAAAAAAAAUGGUAAAAAGUAACAAUUAAUAAUAGCAGUUUUAACGUUGUAAUUAUGAUGAAUAAGGAAAAUGUGUUUUAAGAAAAAUAUUGCAUUUCAUGAAAAAUAUAUGUGGCAUGGAAAGAAAUAUUAGUGAAAAUGCAAGAUCCAAGCUUAAAUUAUUGCUAGGAAUCUUGUAAUUAGAAGCUUACUUAAUUCGAUGUACAUUAUAUAUGUAUGAAACAUCACGAUUGAUGCUACAUUUAUUGAAUGAAUAUCAUAAUAAAAAUUAUUUAAUAAAAUCAAUUUAUGAAAAUCGUGUAUUGGAUCUACAAUAUAUAUUUUAGUGAAAAAAAUUUAUAAAAAACCUAGAUUGUAAUAGUCUCCACCCAAAAUACACAGUUUAUAAUAACACAUAUUAUUAUCAUAUAUAAAACACAAAUUAUCAUAGUCUACAACCCAAAUGCAGACUAUCAAAACAGAUUAUAAUAGUGUAUGCGCUCCAAACGUAGACUAUCAUAAUACUAGAACUAUCCUAAAUCACUCGCUCCCUAACGUCCCUUUAAAUAUAUGUAUGAAAAUUUUGUUUUUUAAUUAAUUGAUUUAGUUUUUUUUUUCUUUACUUGUUUUAGGUUUUUCUUUUAAUAUUAUCAAAAUAUCUAUUUAAUCUUUUAAACUUUAAAACAUUGGCCAUUGGGUAGCAAUUUUAAUUUUUAGUUUUUUUUUUUUUAAAAAAAGCUAAAAGCAUUUAAACAUUCUUUCCCUUUUUUUUUAAUCUUUUAUCUACUUCUUUACCAAUAUUUUAACAAUCCAAGUUAAAUCUUGAAAAUUAAAAAAAAAAUUGUAAUUUCUUUCGCAAAUAAUUUAACUAUUAUACAUAAGAAUAUGCAAAUUAUGGUAAAGAAUUUGAAAAUAAAUAUUCUUAGUUAAAAAAAAAAAACAAAAGUAAAAAGAUUAUAGAAUAAAGUCUAGUACAUUUUAAAAAUAUCUCACACGUAUAAUAGAAAUAAGAAAAGUACUUACAUGCAUCUUAGACAUUUUACUUAUGUUUCGUACAUUCCACCAAAUUGUCCAAUCAUAACUUAUCAUAUACCAAAUUUUGCUAAUUUUCUUUUCUUUUAGUAGAGUAUUUUAAUAUGUUUUUAUGUAAAUGGUAAGAAGGGAUGUACAAAUUAAAUGAAAUGCACCUAAGCAUACUUACUCUAUACUAAAUAUUCCCCCAACUUCAAUCAACCCAUGCCAACUUUCAAUACACGACCUAUGCUACGAGAAGAUUUAAAAUAAGGGGAAUGGUUUCGAAUACAGCAAAAAUGAACUAAAAUAUUUAUAAAUUAUAGCAAAUUUUUAUAUUCUCUAUCAACUACAGACACUCGUAGUCACUAAUAGAAGAUUAUCAAUAGUUAUGGGUGUCUACAAUUCAUAGAAUAAUUUAAAAUUUUGUUUUAUUUUAUAAAUAUUUUCACCAAUUUUAUCAUUUACAAUAAUUUUUUUUAAAAUAAACAUAUUUAAAUAUGGGAAUAAACUUUGAAUAAUGUAUAUAUCUCAAAAAUGUUUCCACUCUAAAAUUUUUAGUUUCAUUCCAAUUCAAUAUCUUAAAGUUCAAUAAUUGUUACAAACUUUACCCUAAUUUAUUCAAUCUCUAGCAAAUUUAAUUUAUUCAAUCUCUAGGAAAACAUGUCUCUCAAAAAAAAAAAUCAAAUAACACAAAAGAAAAAAAAACAUCCAUAAUUCAUUGAAUUAUUAAAAGCAAACAAACAUUACACCAAACGAAGCCUGCAUAAGAUCAAAUUAAUCGAUCAAAUUCGACUGAAUCAAUAAAAAAACAGAACUUUAGAGCCCCGUUCAGUCAUUAUUCAAUUUUUGGCUUCGAAAAUUUUGCAGUACCAAGUGACAGUUUAAGAAUAUGAUAAUCAUACGUUUUUUUUCCUUUUGUAGAUAUGACAAUUUUUAGUGUGUCAAAAAUAUGAAGUGUAUCGUAUAUAUCAAAGGUGUAUUUUUGUUUUUACUCCCAUCAAUUUUAUAGUGGAGAUAUGCUAAAUUCACAUCAUAAUUAUACUUUUCUAACUAUGAAUUAUAAAAAUAUAUUAAAAGGUAAAAAGUAUAAUAGUUCACACCUUUCGAGGUUUGUAUUCAAUUUAAUUUUUCAACUGACCACUAUAUCAAUUUAAAUUUUAAAUUUUCAAAAGUGUAUUUCUUCUUAAUCAAAAUAUUGUGUUAAACUUUAUUGAGUUUACAUUUGAAAAUCAUCAAAACAUUUAAAAUCCUACACAUGUGCAUGUAGAUGUUUUCGAUCGUCGAAUUAAUAAAAUGAACUAUUAAACAAAAUUGAUAGAUGGAUAAAUUUCAAACAAAAUGUUGAAAAGUAUUCCAAAUUGAUUCGUGAAGAAAGUUUAAGCAUUUAAUCAAUAAAAUUCAAAAACAAAACAAAACUCUUGAAAAGUGUAGGAAUAUAAAUGACUAUUUUUACAAUAAUAUUAUAUUGUUAGACAAAUCCAUAGAUAGUGUAUAUACUAUGCUUAUACUUCCAUCGUUUAUUAUUUGGUGGUAAAGGCACCAUGGAAUUGUGUAGAUAUCAAAUAGAGUGAAAAUCUUUUGUUGGAAACACUUUUUCAUAAUUACCUCAAACAACAAUUGAUGGAUUCAAAGGAAAAGAGGCAAUAAUGGUGGUGGAGGGGUAAUAAUUCCAUCAAAUAAUUAUAUUUCUUUAGUGCAUUUCCUUUAGUUGUAUUUUGAUAAUUAAUGGAAUGAUUAAUUAUUAUGCUCAAUACCUUUUUUUUCAUACCAUAAUUAAGUUUGGUCUUGCAUUAAUGAUAAAGUUUUGAAUUGUACAUGUAUGAUGAUUUUUAACUAUUGUAUUUUUUAAUUUUGUUACGGUACAACUAUGGUGGAUGGUUAACAGUUAAAUGAUGUUAGUUCUUAGUUCAUAAUCAACAGGAAGCUAUUAGAUUAAAUUACGAUAACGAUUUAAUGGUUGGAAAGACAAUUUUGGAAUACAAUGGUGGUAGUUUAUAUGUAGCCAACAUCAUAUAUUUUCAAGCUAAGUUUAAAUAAUGGAUGAAAAAAAUGUUUCAUAGUCCAUUUUAACUUGUCAUUCCUAUAAACUAAGAAAACUCCAUUAUCAUUGUCUCUUCUUUCUUUGUUAAAAUACAACUCAAUUCACAUCAUGAGAAAAAAUGGUUAAGUCAUAGAGAUUAGGAUCAAACCAUGGGGACUGUUUUUAAGGUUUUAUAUAAAAAAAGAGCUGACAGAAAAAAUAGCAAAUUAAUUUACUGGUUUAUUUUAGAUAAAUGACAAAAUUUAAUUUAAAUCGAUAAUAUAGCAAAAUUGUUAAAAAUGAAAAGCAAAAAAGCUGCAAAAAGACGGUGAAAAAAACCCAUCACAAAUAUAAUUAUUUCAAAACCCAAAAUACCUUAUAAUUGAAUUAGACUCCUGACUAUUACCAAGAUCGUUUCAACUUUCUCUCUAAUUUUACCCUACCAAAACUAUCGAACCAAUUAAAAGCCAUAAAAUUUCAAUUUUCCCUCAAACUCAGUUCGUCUACCCUCAUCUCCAUUGAAGUCAAUUUCAAAACUUGAAGUAAAGUGUCAGCUACUAUAACCUUUGAAAGAGCAGUGAUAGUUCACAAAAAAUCCUCUCAACUAAAAGAAAGACAUCCAACUUCGAUUUCUGCAAAAACAAAGUUUGUUUUGCCUUUUCUUCUUUUGUGUUCUCCUCUGAUUCCUGCAGCUUAGUUAAAUUGAUGGUUAAUAGCACAGUGUCAAUUAUCUUGAUGGACCGAUGCAAUCAGUCAUCCACUCCACCAUAAAUUGACUGUAACAGUAUCCAUUGAAUUUCUCCUCUAAAAAUAUCAACAUGCAUAAAAAUAUUUAAAUUUCACAAAAACAUGGGUGUUAUGGCCUAUUUUUCUCAAAAUGUUUUUUUUUGUCGGAUAUUUCUCAAAUUUAAAGGAACCUUGGGCCUUGGGCCUCCUCCCCACAAAAAUCUCGUUGGGCCAUAAACGAGUUACCCACUACCCAAGGCGUCCACUUUAUUCAUCGGAGCUCAGGUUGCAUGAACCGCGGAGCUCCGUCCAUCAAUGGCCAUCAACAAGCCUCCUCCUACUACAAAUUCCGACAACGAACGCAUCGUUAUUGGAUCUGCCAUAGCCUCACGGCUUCUUCUACUCUUCUUAAUCGUCUUCUGGCGUUUUCUCCUCAGCCCUUACGACACUUCAGCAUCGCUUAAUCCUUCAUGCUUAAUCAACCCAUCUUCUUUACCCCUCACCCAACAACCAGUUCUUUUUCCUCAAAUUGGCUCCGCCAUUGAGAGCAGCAUUGUCUGGGAUGGCGUCUACUUCGUCCGAAUCGCUCAGUGCGGUUAUGAAUAUGAGAAAUCCUACGCCUUCUUGCCCCUUCUCCCUUUCUGCAUUUCCCUCCUGUCCCGCACAGGUUUGCUAUUUAUACUUCAUUUCGUUGUUUAUUCCAUUGUUAUUUUUAUUUUAUUGGUUAUUAUGUAGAAUGAUCGCUUCUUACAUUUUACUUGGGUGGCUUAUGAACAACUGCCGAUGUGCUUCGGGGAUUAAUUCAUUUUUUGUGUGGUUAAUGCGGUUCUAAUUUUGGUACAGUAUUGUUGCCUUUGGUUCCGGUAAUUGGGCAUAGAGCUGUAUUGGGACUGUCUGGAUAUCUAAUUAAUAACAUUGCUUUUGUCCUUGCUGCACGUUAUCUUUUCAGGUGGGUUUGUUGAGAUUACGAGUUUUUGGCCUGUAAUUCUUAGGUUUAUACUCUGAUUUUUCAAAUGGGUAAAUAGCCAUUCAUCUGCUUUUGUACUUUCUUGCUUUUAUUCUAUGUAAAAUCCUGACAUCUUCUACCUGGUCGCUGUAAUAGGCUUUCACUUAUUAUUUUGAAGGAUGCGGAAGCAGCAAUGCGGGCUUCAGUUCUGUUUUGCUUCAAUCCUGCUUCUAUAUUUUAUUCAUCAUUGUAAGUGACUUUUUCUUUCCUAUAUCACUAUGGGCGUAAAAGGUUUUGAUGGUGAUGGACUAUACUUGCAAUUGUAGAUAUACUGAGAGUUUAUACUCGCUAUUUUCAUUGGGUGGAUUAUAUCACUUGAUGAGUGGUAGAAGUAGUGUUUCUGCUCUGUGGCUAGCUCUUUCUGGCUGUGCUAGGUCCAAUGGAGUGCUUAAUGCUGGUUACAUCUGUUUUCUGACUAUGCAUUGGGCUUAUGAUGCUCUUUUUCUGAAGAAAUGUAUCCGUGUAAGUAUCCUUUCUAAUUAAUUGAUAAUGAGUUUUAUAAUGUCUGUUUGUUAAGUUAUCUUGGUUGAGAAGUAAUGCAUUUCUCUAAUUGUUUGUGUUUCUGAUUUAUUGGUCAAAUUUCUCUUUUGAGUUUUCCUUUUGUGAUGCAGAUUUCUUGUGCUUUUAUACAAGACAGAAUCGAGUUGUUUUGUAAUUAUUCUCUUUUAGAUAUUGGUAAAAGUUGGAGUAUUUUUAUGUAAGCUCUUAGGCAAUUUUGAGGAGAACUCAUCUGCUCUUUUAUGCUUCAUUUUCUGAUGGAGUAGGUCCUUUUACCCUUCUUUUUACUAGGAGAUUUCUUUGGAAAGUUGGGCUCUUGAUUAUUUUGUAGUAUAUUUGGUCAGAGAGAAAUAGAAGAGUUAAGGUCCUUAAUCAAAGUGGCUUUAUUUAAAAGAAAAAAAAAAAUUUAGAUAGACAAAAUUUCACAUUUAUUAGAAGAAAAGUACAAGAGACGGUGGACAAAAGCUUCAUUUAGGAAGGAACUUAAGAAAAAGCAGUCCUGUAUUGUUUAACUAUGAUAAACAAAAAGGAAGUUGAAGAUGUAAUGUUCUAACUUUGUUUCAUGGUCAGCAAUGUAGCAUUAAUAAUAGUUUAUUAUUUAUUCCAGAAGGGACUGCAGGUUCUCAUUUCUGGAGCCCUAAACUGUGUCUUUAUAUUUGCUCCAUUCAUUGGAUUUCAAGCAUAUGGGUAUUACAAUAUUUGCAGUGGACGGAUACCAGAAGAAAUGAGGCCAUGGUGUAAAGCUAGGGUACCGCUGCUAUACAACUUUGUUCAAAGUCACUACUGGUAUUGACUUUUUAACUUGCCCAGUAUUCCAAACUUUAUAUCAAUAUUCUGUAGACCAUAGAUGACUUCGUAAUUAUUUUCAAAAUCUUUAGAUAAUCCUGUAAUUCUAGGGUUUCUCAUAUAUAAAUGUUUGAACUUGAAAUAGUUUGGAAGUGUAGGAACUUGUCGACAGAGAGAAUUAGGUUACAAGAAUCAGUUAUUAAUCUAACUAUCAAUUUGAACAACUCAGUAUCCCAACUCUAGAGGAUACUAAUUAUACUUUACAAGUGAGAAAAAGAAAUUAUAAAUUUUAUCAAUGAAGAGAAUUUUACAAAGAAUGAGUCUGUCAAGACUCGACAGGAUAAAGUUUCUUCUCUCUGAAGGAAGAGUUAUGAAGAAGAAUAGGGUUCCAAUCACUGCACAAAAAUUCUAAAGGAAUCCAAUUCAUAACAUUGCAAAUGCAAAGUUAUAGACAGCUUCCUAACAUCCCCUGAUACUGACAGGAUGAAUAUGUUAGAUACCUAGAUUAGUAUAGGGCUAAAGGUAGUUAGUUAUGUAGGCAGUUAGAUGGUUAUAAAUAGGAAGUUGGGGAGGGAAGAAAAGGGAGAUUAGUUUUGUGGGUAGUUUUUCUGCACUCUUUCUUGUUCUUAGUUAGUUUCUAUAUUUUCAUUUCAUAUCAAAUUUUUUUUGUAAUAGUGAGUUUAUAUCAAUUGAACAAGAACACGUUUAUUGGUGUUCCAUCAGAAUAACAAUCACAUCCUGAUGCUAUCAUACUCAUUAAGGAAGCAGUGAGAUUAUGUGGCUUCCCACGUUCAAUUAUCUCUAAUCGUGACAGGAUAUUUGUGAGACUUUUGGAAUGAAUUGUUUAAGAUACAAGGAACCCAACUUCAAAAAAACGCCACCUUCCAUGUUUAGAUGGACGAACUAUGUGAGAUUGUCAACAAGUGCUAGGAGAUCUAUGAAGAUAUUGAAGAAAAUGAUUUGUAAGAACAUCUUUUGAAUUUUCUUUUGUUACAUGUCAGGAACCAUGCGAUUUUGGUAAGUUGAAAGGGUGGGAUACUUUGGUUGGGUGUGAAGUAGGACCAUUUCCUUCUUCAUACUUGCAUCUCCAUUUGAGCCACAACCACAAGAUUUGUUUUUGGGAUCUCAUAUUGAGUUAUUGUGAGUAAGAUUCAUAAGAGACUCGUCUUGGAAAGAGCUUUUUCUUGAAAGGUGGUGGAUUUACACUCAUUCUAUUUGCGGAGUUCUCGAAAGAGGUUGCAACGAGAUGGUUGAGAAGUUCCAUCUCAAUCCUUCUUUUUCAUGAGAAUGAAAGGUUUUUAUGGUGAAUCGGGAUGUGUGCAGUCUUGUGGGACUUCUGGGGAGUGCAGAGCAAAGCUUGAGAGAUCGUUGAGUGAUGUUUGGUUUAUUGCUAGUUCUAACGUUUCUUCAUGGGCCUCAAGUCUAUUCUUAUGUGAUAGAAGGCCCUUGUUUUAAAUUGUCCACUUUUAAGGAGCUUUACUUUUUGUAUCCUCUUGUAUUAUUUCAUUCUCUCUUAAUAAAUCCUCUGUUAUAAUCCUCUGUUAUUCAUUAUAUAUAUAGAUAGGUAGAGUCUAAUUUUAAGAGCUUUAUUUUUUUGGGGGUUUUUACAAAAAUAACAAAAAAAUUUAUGAUAAUAGAGUUUAUGUCACAACAUUUUCUAAAUUCUAAAUUUGCAAAAGUAGCAAAUUUAAAAGUGAUGACCUCUGAUAGCCAUAUGAUUGUCGUCUGAUAGCCUUAUGAUUACCGUCUAAUAGUCGUCUAAUAUCACUAAUUUUACCAUAUUUGCAAUAUGCAAAAAAUUGAUGUCAUGAGCUUUUUUUUUCUAAAUAUUUUUGUCAUUUGAUGCAAUUUCCCUUAUUUUUUUAUGCUCUUGAUUUAUUUCAUUUCUGCUCAAUAAAUCCUCUGGUAUUCAUAUAGAUAGAUAGAAUAUAACUUCAAGUUUUUUUGGACACUCAAAUCGGAAAUUAAGGCUCUGGUAGUUUUCAAAGAAGCAGGCGCACAGGAAAAGAAAGCAUGUAGAUUUAAUUGUUUAUACAAUUGGGAAAUAUCAUUCGAUUUUCAGUAUUCCUUACAAACUAUUGUGAAAAGACAAUACGUUAGAAAUGUUUACUUUGUUUCAGAAAUUCAUUAUAAACCUCUUUUCAGAUUUUAUUAUUUAUAUUCUAAUUGAAAUUGCUAUGCUCUUUUUUUAACAUCUUGCAUACGUCUUUUGGGAUGGCAGGGGAGUAGGUUUCUUAAAAUACUUUCGAUUCGAACAGCUACCAAACUUUCUACUUGCAUCCCCAAUUUUGUCUUUGGUUUUUUUCUCAAUUCUCCACUACGGAAAGUCAAAGACAAAGCUUUUAUUCUCGGUGGGUUUCCAACCAAUGGAUGAUGAUAGAAAUUCUGCUGCCAUGCUUUACUUUCCAGAACGUGUUUCAAGGUCAAGCACACCUCAUACUACAUCUUCCUCUGGGUUACAAGGUAAUGCUUAUUUUUCAAUGGUAAUGUAACAAGAUUUUGUGUUGUAUGAGUAGGUAUAAGUUUUGAAAUUGAGUAGUAUCUUGUCUUGACUUUCCUUGUCAUUUUGUUUUGUUGCAAUUUUUAAAGCACCUUAAGCUAUUAUUUCAUAGGAAAUCAGAAUCUUAGACAGAGAAAGAAGAUUUUUGUACAGGAUCCUGCUGAGCUUGCAGUAGAGGAUAAACCGUCCAAUGGGUCAGGAUACUUUUCUGCUCUUGUACUUCCAUUUAUCCUACAUUUGGGGUUUAUGGCUGCCACAGCAUUUUUUAUCAUGCAUGUACAGGUUUGUCUCCUCUCCAUAAUUUGUACUUUUUUCAAAAGAAUAUGUACAUGGUGUGUGCUGAAGAAUAUCAUUUGCUUGCUUUCUGUUAUUUCAGCUACGAGUCAGCAUUAUUGUUUGCAUUAUAAAUCUAGUUUCAAUAUAUAUACAUAUAUAUAUAUAUAUACACAUUAGCAGCUGUUGAAGACAACUAUCAAGUAAUUUUUGAGUUUGGAACCCUCUGGUCCUAUGAGGCAAUAGUUCUCAAGUUAUUCCUUAUAAAUACCGAUAAAUAGUCCAUAUGGUAUGAAUUGUGUACGAGAAUUUUAUCAAACCAUUAGACUAUUUGUGAGAUUUUAUUAAAUCAAAUGGAUUAAAUUCCAAUUAUAAAUCAUAGGGACUGAAUUCUAAGUUUCUCCAAACGAUUCGAACCAAAUUUGCAAUUUAACCCUAAAACUAUGGUUCAUGUUGUAUGGACAUUACAUAGUUAAUUUUCUAUAUUUUAGAGAGUAAUAUUCAGCAUAAGCCUCUUCUGUUAGAAGCAUAAGUUAUUCAAACCCUAGCAAAUAGCAAAACAAAUCCAUAAAAACAUUCUAAGUUCCAUGUCUUGUUUUUAAGCUUAGUAUCUCAGAGUUCAGAAUUCAACAGGUUGCAACACGAUUUCUCUCUGCAAGCCCUCCUCUCUAUUGGUUUGCCUCAUACAUUACAGUUAAGCGAUGGAGAUAUAUUAUCUGGGCAUACUCUAUCGCAUAUAUCCUCCUCGGUAGUCUGCUGUUUUCAAAUUUCUACCCAUUCACAUGAUUUGUUGCAGCAAAACAACACUUUAGCUUUGGUAUCGAAUCAUCUUGGUUGCUGAUGAUCGUGCUAUUGCUUCAUAGUCCACACUGUUUUGGAUGAGAAAAAAUGUUUAGAACAAGAGCCACAAAGUUCGUUAUAGUUCAUGUAUUAGGGGAGUUCUUCGAGUAGAAGUUAUUUAAGUAAUUUAAAGAAAUUUUGUUCACCUUGUAUGUAAUAAUUGACUUAAUGAGGGUAAUUGUUGAUUACCAAGUUGUAUAAUUGCUUGUGUUUCAGGUUGCUUUUAGGUACUGUCUUCAAAUACAAAGCUUUCCUAACUAUUCAAAUGUUCCAUUUACAAUUUCUUCUCCUUUGUUUAUAUGUAAAUAUUUGGUUAGUUUUAGCUUUUGAAUUUCACUUUUAAGUUUAUUUUAGUCACAAACUUUUAGAGAAAUGUAUUUUCACUUUUAAAAAGUGAUUAUUUCAAUUCCGUUCUUUUAACAUGAGACUUUAUUUGCGACAGUUCUUAAAAUAAAACCAUAAACUGAUAAUAAAAAUUUUGAACUGUGUCAAAUUUAGGUUAAAAUUUUGUAACUUUGGAUCAAAACAGUCACUUUUUUAAAGACUAAAACAACAAUUUAAACUUUUUUUUUUCUACUUAAGUUUAGUAGGAGAAUGUUGAUUAUUAGUAACUAUAAUCCAAGUCCAACGACAAUGGUUAGAUGUCAUUUUUAAAUACUCGUCAAUCGAAUUGCUGCUUUUGUUUACAGAUUUAGACAAUGGUCUCAUGUGUCAAUACAAACUAAGCAUAAUCAAAUGAAGCUCAAUUUUUAAAUUACAAUUAAUUCAUUCUCAUUGCACUUAGUAAACAUGGUCUAGAUGCCGUCUUACUACUUUAUAGAAAUGAUGAUUAAAAAUGGUUAGUGAUAGUCUGACCAAGUCCAUCUAAAGUUUCAUAACUAAAUUUCAUAAAAUUGAAACCUUGAUGUCGAUUAAAUAACCUAGGCCUAUCAUAAAACGAUCACAAUGAGACAUUUCUUCUAAAAGCAAGUCCCUAUCAACAUUAGAGAUGGAUUAGUUUCAACUUUCAAACACUGUACAAAGAAGUUGAGAUACAAUAAUACAAAGAGAUCAAGAAAUAUCUCAAACAGAGGGACCAGAUCUGAGCACUCUCUCCAGUUUCUCAGCUUUUGUGUAAUCAUUUUCAUUGAGAGGCCCAGCAGGGAAUGGAGUUAUUUCCACAAUAAGAUGUGGGGUUGGAAGCUCAUCAAACAAAGCUCUCACAUUGUUGCAACAAACACUCUCCCCAUGAGCACUUUCCCUCCUGAUUUGACAACCCUACAAAUCACAAACCUCUACAUUGUGAUGUCUUUGAGAAUAAUCAUGCAAUUGAGCAAAAAACGGAACGGUUUGUGUGUGUGAAGAGUGAACAGGAUGGAUAACAAGCAUGAUGUGGAAUGGAAAUGGAGGAAUGAAUAAUUCUAGGAUUGUGAUUAGAUUUAGAACCUUGUGAGAUGUGGCAUCAACGAAGUGAUCGUCGUCGGAAAGGAGGGACAUGAUGGCUUUAAGAAGACGCCGUCCUUCGGAUUUAGAUGGCACUCGAUAGUUCCUUCUGAGGGUUCCCUUUGUGGUAGGAUGCCAUUUGCUCACUAGUUUUCUUUUAUCAACUGCUUCAUCCACUGUCAACAAACACAAGAAAGUAUGAUUCAUUCAUCCACUGCCAAUUCCAGAGGUUGAGGAAAGAAAACACUGAAAGGGAUUAAAACAAAUUCCUUUAACCACACUUUUUAAUUUCAUAUACAAAACUCUAAUUUGCUUGUAUCGUUCCAAAUUCCAAUUUUAUCAGAUGUCUCCAAAGGGGCGAUACAAAACUCUAAUCUAGAUAUAUUAUACAAUUCAACAGAGCUACAUAAGGUGUAAAGAAAAGAAUCAAAGAAUACCAGAUAAUUAGCAUACUAAACUCUAGGAUCAAAUUAAACAAAAUGUUGUAAGCAGAGUUGUUCAAUGUUUAUAAGUAUUCCAUGUUUAUUAGACUAAUAAACAUGGAACAACUCUAGAACAUUCACAAAGAUCACUGAGAAUUAUAGAUGGUCUGCCAAACCUAGCAUUCAAGACUUUCUUUUAUAGGAAACAACUAUAUUACAAAAAGAAAACUCUAUACAAGAGAUCCCCAUCAAAUAGAGUAGCAAAGUGCCUUCCAACCCAGCAUUCAAGAUUCAGCAGAAGAAUGGAUUAACAAAGCCCCAAAGUAUUAGUUCCAACAAUGUUUACAUUCAUAACUUAACUGCUAAAACUUUUUCUAUUAAUCUUUCGUACCCUAUCAAACAAAAAGAAGUCAUUCAAUGUCAACUACAUAGCUAAUGAUUAUUGAAGCUUCAGCCAUAUGAUUUGUAGAAUUUUAGUCCCUUGUUUCAAUUCAAAAUCAAAACAAAAGGCAACGUUGAUCAGUGAAUUCUUCAGUUAAUGUAUCCUUCAGUGUAUUCUAACAAACUAUGCUCAGUUUGGUAAGUUGAUAAAAUUCCUUUACAUAACCCACAAAUCAAGCAGAUUUAAAAGAUCACCAACAAACCUGGCUUUCCUCUUACGCUCUCCAACCAUUUAGAAAACCCCAAAUCACUGCUGCUUUCUCCAUCAGAACUACCACCAUAGGAUAAGUCCAAAUCUGGAAAGAAAGAAGAACCAAAAAAAAAAAAAAAAACACGAACACAAACACAAAAUUUCCCUAUAAAAAUCAAAUCCCAUAAUAAAAAAUAAAAUAAAAAAGGAAAGGAAGAUUGAAAAGGCAAGAAAAUCAGAAAGAAGACGAACCAGAGAUAAGUGGGUUGGAUUGAGAUCCAGCAAGACCAGCUCUUAGAAGGGCAUAGAAGAUGCAAAGUCUACCAGCCCACAAAAUAGGAGCUUCGAUGAGAGAAGCGCGAGUGGAUGAAGGAGAAUUGAAGGUGUUGGAGAGGGAUUUGUUGGAUCUUGUUUUGUGGAAAUGGAGGAAGGUUGUGAGGGCAUUUUUGGGGUGAGAUGGAAAACCAGGGAAAAGGGAUUUGGGGAGAAGAAGAUUAAUGGAAUUGAGAGAGUGAAAAUGGAAGGGGAAAGUGGAGGAUUGGGAAGGGGAAAUGAGAGAGUGAAGCAUUGUUGAGUUGUAGACUGAUGAAAUGCUCUCUAAUCCACGCAGUGGCAGUGCAUAGCGAGGGAGACAAGCUGACUCUUAGCCUUUCUACUCACAAAACGCUACCGUUUAACCCCUUGAAGGGAUUUUUUCUAUUUUUCUUUUUGUAAGUACAAAUGUCUAACCAAGCAAAUUAAGAGCAAAUUCAAGUUAUAUCGUUAAAUAAAAGUAAGCAUUGGAUAGAAUCAUGGUUAUAAAAAUCACAAAUCAAAUCAACCAAAAUUUCAUUCAAGUUUCUAAACUUUUUUAUCAACAGGUUUUCAACAAUUUGAGAAUCAGUUUGAAUCCAAAGAGAGAAAAUAUCGUUUUAAGAGCUCUAAUCAAACAUGUCAAAGGACUUAGCAAGCAAUUCAAUUUUGUUGAGCAGAGAUGUAGACAAAUUGAAAAUAGGAAGGAUGGUGAGUGGGUCCAAAUGGGCCAUUUUAAUGCCUUAUCCAAAUGCAAACAAUGUAUCUAACAAAAGUCUUUAAUUUCCUAAGAAGUUGUAACUUUUGGAACUUACGAAAUUAAUAGCAAGAGUGAUUUUAGCCUGUCAAACUCACUUGUAUUUAAAAUAAUCAUGUUUGACAAUAAAAUAAAAUUAAUUUUUAAAAAAUAAAAAAAAAAUCACUUUAAAUUGAAGUGAUUCUUCUUUAGCAAUGGUAAGGGAAGCAUCUCCGAUAUUAUUAGAAAUAAACUAAUAAAAUUAGAUAUUUAUUUAAAAAAUUGACAACCACUUUCGGCAAACUUUUGAUUUUUUUUUUUUUUUUUUUUGUAACUACGACUGCUUUUCUAUAGCCAUCGAUCAAUGUUUGAUGAUCACAUUUCUUGGAUAUGGGAUGAAAUAUAGGUUGAGACGUAUGUGGAUAUUUUUUAAAAUGUAAAAUGUAGGUUUUGGUUGUUAUCGUUUUGUAAGUUGUCAUUGUUUUGGUUCUAGAGAAAAGUUUAUGAGCAACACUAUUUUUUUUUUUUGUAAGUUAUUAUUGUUUUGGUUAUGUAAAGUAAAAUUAUUUAGUAUGUAAGUUGUUAUGUUUUGGUUGUAGAGAAAAGUAUAUAAGUUUAUUUUUCAAAGUGUGUUUAUUGAAUAUGUUUCUAUUUUUUACUUUUAUUUGUUUUUCAUAUUCAACUUUCAAUGGAGAUCACUUCAUGGCAUGCAAAUAAAAGUUUGUGUACUAUUUAUGUAUUGUUUAUUGAAAUUUUUGUUACUUUAGAUUAAUUUACUAUUUUUGGUAUGUUAAUUUUGUAAGAAACAAUUGUAACUUUUAUUGAAAUAUUAAAUAAAUUCUAGUAUUUUCUAUUUCUACCGUUUGAAUUGUGUUUAGGUACAAACCAAAAGUAUGGUGGAAAAACAAUACAAACAUAAAAUAUAUAAUUUUUUUAAAAAUAUAGGCUUCUACCCACAACACACUAUUUUAUAGCGUCGACAUUUCGUGGAUUUGUCGACAAAAUCUAUAAUUGUCGGCGUAAUAGAGCUACAUCGUCGACAAUACAAGGAUAUGUCGAUGACAUUCUUACAUCAUCGACAUAAUAAAUGCCCACGAAAUAUUUUCACCGUUGGUGAAUAGCCCUUUCACCGAUGGUUAACUUCUAAUGUGGGCAUAGUUUCGUAGAUUCAAUUCUGUCGGCAUGCAAUUUCAGUAUUCACCAACGAUCACUUUUUCGACAUCAACGAAGGCUCUUUCAACGAACCUACACCAACGGUUUGUGUCAACAGCUUAAUAUCGUCAACAAAAGAAAAGUCGACGCAUUUUUGAAGAUAUGUCAACGAUUUAUGUCAUCGGCAAAAUGUCAAAUUCUUGUAGGAAUUAAAUUUUUGUAUUUAAAAAAGUGAUAUAUAGAGUUGGUGUGAAUGAUUAUUUAUUAUUUAUUACUAUGAAAAGAUAUUUUUUUCGAGAGAGAAAAUUGUCAAUAUAAUAAUUAGAUUAAGAAAGUGAUUAAUGAAGCAACAUUUAAAAAAAAAAAUCAAAUAUUAUCAAAUUUGUGAUAGCUAUCAAUGAUGAGAUAAAAAUCUAUAAUUAAUAUAUUAUCUUAUAAAUAUUAAUUUAUCAUUGAUAGACCAUGAAAGUUUAUGACAGACUUUAUUAUAUUUACAAUUUAAAAUAAAAAGUUAGUUUUAGACAUUAAUAUUUCUUAAAUUGCAUUUACACAUUUAUAACUUUAUUAAAAAGAUGGCAUUUGGAAAGAAAGUGUCUGGGCUUUAUGGAUAUGAUCAUUGGGCUUACCUAUACAAUGCAUAAAUAUCUUCUCUUUCUCCUUUCUAGGCUACCUUAUAUAUAUUUUACUUUUAACUUUUUCCAUUUCCUACUUAAUCCAUAAUGAUUCGACUUAACAGAAAACAUAUCGUAAUAGGUCAAGAGUAAUUAGACAAGAAAAAUAAAUUGACUUAAAAAUAAUUAUUACCUAUACCUUUUUAUUUUUGUCUAAUUGGGAUUACCAUGGUUAGACUAAACAUUAUCAAAUUAGAACAAUUGUUUAAAAGAAAUUGUGGUUUAUUAAUUUAGUAGUCUACAACCCUUCUUUUAAGGGUCCAAAGUUUGCAAAUUUUACAUUGUUUUUCAGCAAAAUAAUACUGCAUGCAAACACCAAAAUGCUCCAUUUCAACAAAGGAAUGAUCCUUCCUAAUAGAUCUAGAAUCUCAACCAUAACAUAUUUGAAAAUAAUCGUCAACAGGUUAUUUGGUCAUUAAGUAAAAUAAAUUAAUAAGUUGGAGUUCAAAAGUUAUUUCACAUUUGAAACAUAGAGCUGUAAGAUUGAGUUUUACUCUAGUUGUGAAAAGUAAAAAGAUGAAGACAACGAUAGAAGAUAAUGUAAAUAAAUUAAAAAAAGAAAAAACGAAUUUGUUCGAAAAACGUAAAAAAUAGAGAAAUAAAAGAAAAGAAGUUAGUACUUUAAAGUUUAGUUAUCUAACACGAAGCUAAUACAAUUGGUUGCUCGAACAACCCUAAACUCAUUAAUUAAAAGUAUAGUUGUUGGUGUCUAUAACUUUGGCAUUUCAAUUCCUCUAACAACUCUAUCUACAGAACACCCCUAAUUUAUCAACUCUCUUAAUCGUUCUAGGCGUAUUUUUCUUUUCAUCAUUUACCUUCCUAAAAUAUGUACAUAUCUACAUUUCACUAAAUUAGCAAUCACCUUAAAUAUAUCUAAAGAAAUUGUAUUUGUGUUUUAAAUUAGAGCGCUUUGUUGUAUAUAAAAGGUUUUCAAUUAUAUACCAAAAUGAACUAACUUAUUUAUAAAUAUAGCAAAAUUUUAAUUUUUAUAUGUGAUAAACCACGACAGACUCAUAUAGAUAUCUAUUUACCUUAGUGACAGACAUUUGCAAAUGUCUAUUUUGAUCUAUCAUGUAGUCUAAGAAAAUUUAACCAAGAGAAAAAAAUAAUUGAAAUUACCUUUUCCUUUCUAAAAAGAAAAAUGUUUAAACGAGAAACUAUGAAAAACUAUGCACAUUAAUCAACCAUAUGAAAUGGCAAAAGGGUUAAAAGAUCGUGAGUUAAAUUUUUUAUUAUCAUUUACCUAAGAUUUAGUAUCUACGAACGCUUUUUACAUAUCUAAAUAUCAUAAUGUCAAAUUAAGUUUAUUGUCGUGUAUGAUUAGUCGAAUUACAGGCACUAUAUAAAAUAUAUAUACACACACGAAUGAAUGUUGAUUGAACUUACUGUUAGGAAUUUUAAUAUUAAAAAAAUUAUGAUGAAGUUAAUUAAAAUUAAAACUUAAAUAAUUUUUUCAAACUCUCUAUUAUUAGGGUUUUGAAAAAUCAAGAAUAUGUGUCAUUUUUGUAGCAUGAGAAAUAUAUAUAUUAUAUAUAUGCUCCACUAAAUCUGAAAAGGGCUGGAAGAGGGCUCUCAUCAUGAGUUAUAAAUAAUUAAUGAAAAAAAUAUUGUCCCAAUUUUGAUUCUACUUUUUAUUUUUUAUUAAAAAAAAUACAAUAACCAAAAUCACAAAUAAACAAAGAAAUAAAAAAGUCAUAAGUGGUUGUUUAAUAAUUAGGUUUAAUUAUUGGUUACAAAUUAUAGAGGAGAAAAUGGUCCUCCCUAUGUAAAGAAAUUUUUGUAACAGAGUAGCCUUUUCCCUAUUCAAAAUUUAAAACCAACCUCUUUUAUUGUGAUUUUCAAAUUAUAUGAUGAUAAUUUUAGUGAAUCUAUCAAAUUUUACUUAUUUAACUUCUUUUUAUAAUUUUAUAUAUAACCUUCUCAUAACGACAACAACCGUAAAUUUAUAAUUUGAAUAAGAGAGAAUUUUAUAAAACAAAAAAAAAAAAAAACGACUUUAAUAUUGAAUUCAAAGAAUAAAUAUAUUUUGAAUGGAUUUGAUUUAGGUUUAUCUUAAUUGGACAUGGUGUUUUUUUCUUUCAAUUGAUAUGUUAUUUUAUUUUUUAUUUUUUAUGUAAAAUUCUCCCUAGUUCUAAAAUUAAAAUAAGUAAGUAAUUGUGUAGAUGAUAUGAGAUGCAUUUCUACCACUAAUUUCAUAUAUAUUAUUUAACCUAAGUAAAUAGGUUUUUAAUUCUUAAUUGUAGCCUUUAUAGGGUUGAGGGGUCCAAAUUGUGUCAUCAACUAAAGAGUGAGGAUUUUGUUAUCGAGAAAAGAAAUGGUAAUAGAGAAGAAGAGAAAAAAAAAUCCAAAGGCUAACCUUAGGGAGGGGAUAGGAAGGAAGAGAGAAGCUGUGUGAUGAUUGAUAGAAGAUAAAAGAAUAAAUAUAUAGUUGGUCAAGCAAAGUUAUGGAGAAAAAAGGAAUCUAUUAUAAUAGGUGGUGGAUAUGAUUCGAGUCAAAAGACGUUUUAGUUGCUAGCUAGCUGACUACCAAAGGUAUAUGUUGGUUAACCUAUGUUUGCUAUAGAAGUGUUUUGUAUAAUAUGUGCUAUAAAUUGUUUUUUUAUAUGUCAUUUGAAUUUAUCCAUGAAAAUCUUGUUUUACUUAAAAGCAUGACUUAAUAUUCGAAUCAACGUAAGCAUGACUUAAUAUUCGAAUCAACGUUAAAUAUGAAUUUGGUCUCAAAUACUACUGGAAUAAUCAAUGACUCUAAUUCUCAUAGUAAGAUUUCUCACCAAAUUAUCAUUUUAAUAUAUAUAUUAUUCUUUUUAUAUAUAUAUUAUUUCUCUAUUUUUAUUAUUCAAAUUAAACUACAGUAUAUGUAUAAAUGAAAGGAACUAAAUUUUUUUAAAAAAAGUUGUAAAAGUGAGUGUGAAAUAUGGAAGCUAAAUCUAUAGGUGUAAAUUGAAACAUUAGAACUAAAAAUAUAUUUUGGAAAAAGUAAUAAUUAGACUUCAAAAGAUGAGCAAUUUUAAGGGUGUAAGAAUAUGGGUUGAAUCUGAUAACUCGAACUACCCGAACUAUUCAACCCAUAUUGUAUGGAUUGAGUUGAUUGGGUUAAAAAAACUUGAUUUUUUCGAGUUGGGUUGGAUCUUAGGUUGAAGGAUUGAAAAAUUCGGUUCAACCCAAUCCAACCCAAAUUAAUAAUAUAUAUAUCUAUAUAGUAUUUAUUUAAAAGGUCUUCCUCUUCUCCUUCACGCACGACAUUCCUAUUUUCGUUUGUAACCUUGAAUGUACAAAUAUAUAUAUAUAUAUUUAAUAAAAUAAAACUUAAAAAUAUAGGUCUUCCUCUUCUCCUUCACCUUCAAGCACGGCAUUCCUAUUUAUGUUUUUAACUAUGAAUGUUUGGAUUUAUGUAUGUUUAAGAACUUUGAAUUUAUUUAUGUUUGUAUAACGACUUUGAAUUUAUGAAUGCUUCAAACUUUGAGUUUAUAUAUCUAUAAAAUUUUGAAUUAUGUAUGUUUGAACUUUGAAUAUAUAUCAAUUUUGAACUUUUUUUUUUUUAGGAACUAUUUUGAAUUUUACAACCCUUGGAAAGUGUAGGGAAAAAAAAUGCAAUCCGACAACAAAACUCAUAUUUUAUGGGUUGGGUUGGGUUGGAUUGAGUUGGAAACUAAAUAACCCAAAAAUAUUGGUUGGGUUGAGAAUGUCUUCCAACCCAACUCGAUUACACCCCUAAGCAAUUUAUAUGUGUGUAAAUCGAUAAAAAUAAAAAAAUAAAAAAAAAAUUAGGUUCAAAACAUAUAAGCAAUUUUUAAAAAACACUUUAAGAGAUUAAAGAAAAAAAGAUAGAUUGAACAAGGAAGAUUUACUCUUUUUGUUUAUUUUGUAGAAUUUUUUUGAAAAAGCAACAACAAAUAAAAAAAUAUAUCAUUUUUCAUCAUUUUUACAAUUUCAUUUAUACGUGUGAAUCUUAUGAAGGUUGUGAGUUAGAAAAUCAAAUAUUUGUGUUAUAAAGACUUGCACUACGGUGAUGUAUUCAUGUUCUCCAUACUUCGACAAUUAAAUCACGAAUGUAGUGUUCAGUAAAAACGUGAUUAAUUAAGUUUUAGUACCUUUAUCAUAUGAUAGAGCUUAACUAUUUACGACCGCUCGUUUUUCAUGCAUUUAAACUUGUUCAUUAACGCAUGACAAUGUGUCAUCGAAAAAUAUGUCAAGGUAAUCAAUGGCAGCUAGAACAGUAAACCCAAGCUCAAGGAUUUCUAAUUUGAAAGUCUCACUGUUUCUUUUAGGUCUAGACCUUGCUUGAAAUUUGACCCUAACAACAUAAUUAUUAUUAUAUAAAAAGAUGUCCCAACCAAAUAUGUAGUAAGUAAGAAGUUGGAAUCGAGUAGUAGUAAUUAAUUUGGAGUAUAAAAGCUUUUUUAUUUCAAAAGAGAAAAAACAAAAGGAAAUAAAAAAAAAAAUAGAAAGAAUAGUAACUAGAAGAAGAAUGAUAGAAUGCAUAUGAAUGAUUGAAAAGAAAAUUUUGAAGGAAAAGUUUAAUAACAAGAAAAAAUGAUAAGAAGCACUUGGAAAGUACAAAUUGAGUUAUGAAAGUAAUUUGGUGUGUUUGUACUAAUAAAUUAACUAAUAUGCUCACAUGUGUAGCACUUUUGAUAUCAUUGGAAACAAAUGGUUAGUGGCCAAAAGAGGGAAAUAAGAAUCAAAAGGGGACCAACUAUGCCCUUUAAUUUUUUAUUUUUUAUUUUUUUUUGACAAAACUACAAAAAUCAUCGAAAACUAUAGCGGUGGUUGCAAUUAUAACCACAAACUUUCAAAAUUAAAAAUUAAGCUUUCAAACUCAUUCAGAAUUUAAAUUUUGACUUUCAAACUUACAUGAUUGUAUAAAUUAUUAUAUUGAUUUUAAGGUAUGAGAAUUAAACUUUUACGAUUACGGUAAGUUCACAAGGGUUCAUUUAUUACUUUUGAAAGUUUAAGGAUCUAAUUGCAAUAAUUAUCAUAUUUUAGAAGUGGUUUUUGUAAUUUGCCCUUUUUUUCAACAAGUGUGUCCUUUAAUUUAUCGCAAACAAGAGAAGAGAUCUAAUGUGUGUUUGAUCAAGUCAUACCAAAUGAUUGGAUUUUGAUAUCAAAUUUUGUGAUGAUAUAUCAAUGCUCAUUAUAAGGGUUGAUCAUGUAAAAAUAUGGCAUUCUUUUUUUUUUUCUAACAUGGUUUUAGUACUUUGUUUAAGAAAAGUCUUUUAAGGAUGCAAGAUAGAUUUCAAAAUUUCUAAAAGAAAAUUAAAAAUUAUUUACAAAAUUAGUGCAAAUUAUUGCAAAAAAAAAAAAAAAAAACUUUGAUUACAUCAUGUAUCGAUAAGAUAAAUAAAAUCAUGUGUUCAAACUUUGAUAAUGUUAUUAUGUAUUUAAUGUCAUCACAAUAUAAUCUUCAAUUAAUAUUAAUUUUUACUCAUUCAAAUUUACAACCAAAUUAAAAGAUUAUAAGUAAAGAAAGGGUGAAGUAUUCGUAAAAUUAAGUUUAUUUUAAUUUAUAAAUAUCAAUUUGAACUUUUGCCUUGAUAGAUGCUUUAACUAUCAUUACUUUUAAUCUAUGAAUUGAGACUUUUGAUCCCUCGUUUCAUACUGUUAUUAUACUAAAAAACUAUGAAACUAUUGAAAAUUUCAUAUUCUAUUUACGUUAAAAUCAUUAAUAUUAAUUGAUAGAAUAAAAUUUUGAUAUGUUUUAUAAAUAUUUUACGUUUAAUGUGUUAUAAAUUUGAAGAUUGCUUGAAUCAAUACUAAUAUAAAAAGAAAAUCUUUGGGAUAUAUACAUACAACUAAGUAACAUGCAAAAUCCAUAUAAAUUAACCUUCGUACCUAUAGCUUAUACAAAUUAUCUAUUUGUCUUCACUAAUAUAAUUUGAUUAAAAUAUUAUUUUAGUCUUUUUCUUUUUUAAUUUAUUCACUUUUAGUUCAUAUAUACUUAAUACAUCUUAAGUAUAGUAUCUUGCUAAUUUAUUGUUGAUUAAAGAUUGUAAUCUAUUAGUAUUUUCACAAUAAAUUUUAAAAAUAUAUUCAUCUUGUAUAGUUAGUAUGUUUAUUAUUUAUGGGUGAUUUUUUAUAAUUAGUAAAAAAAAUAAGAAUAAAAGCAAGAAGACCAAUAAAUCAAAAAAUAACAAAAUUUUAGACUGAAAGUACUAGCCUAAGCAUAAACGGGCUUAAAGAAGAUAAGUUCGUGCCAAAGCACAAACUUAUGUGUUUAGCUUCGGCCAAGGUCAAGGACAGUUUUAGCAAAAUAGUUAAUAGGACAUAUCCUACAUAUGCUCGGGCAAAAAAGGCAUUGUCCUAAGAUCAAAAUAAGGGCAUGGCUGUAAAAUUAUAGGAGAAUAACCUAGUUUUAAGUUUCUCUAUAAAUUACGUACACAUUGCUAUAAAUUCACGUGUUAACUUGAAUCUUACUCUCAAACUCUCUAGUUUCCACUCUUACUUGAAAAUUAUAUUAGAGUGUGUAUGGUCGUAAAGCACCACAUCAGAAUGCAAGUCUUCUCUCCUUCAAACAAAUCUAUUGUCAGUGUCACACGUGAAUGUCAAGUACGUUUUUCGAAUUUAAAUUUUGACAUCAAAAUUAUUUAACCAAUUUUAGUCAAAUAUAACUUUCAAAUACUAAACUCAAGUUUUGUUAAAAUUAGUAUAGAUAUUAGAACUGAAUAAAUUUGGAAGUAUAAACACUAAAAUGAUAUAUUAACGGAUAAACUAUUUAUAAUGAUUACAUAAGUUAGGAAGUUGUAGUUGUAUAUUAUUUGAUCAUUACAUUGGAGAGGAUGAACUUCAAUGAAAAUUAAUUAUAAUAUGAUUAGAACAAGCUUUUAGAUAAAGUUAUUAAUUGAUUUAAUUAAUUUUGAGCUGACAAAUGGCCGAAAGAAACGUUGGAUCCCACAGAGAGUUAUGAUUUUGAGUUAAAUAUUAGGUUUCCAUUAUGGUAAUACUUAAUAUUAUUUUCAUAUGCAUGAGAGAGACUUUAAUUUUCUUUUUUAAAAUAGAAAAAAGAACAAUAUAACAACUAACUUUUUGGGCAAUUAAGGUUUAAAUGGUUACCAUGUGCAUGGAAAUUAAAUAGUAAAAUAAAGGUUACAUACAUUACUAUUAUUUUCUCAUUAAUCAAAUAAUAAUUUGGCUAACUGGUUUGAAUAUUCCAUCGUUUUAGAAUCUUAUCAUUAUCAUUUCAAUGCUAAAAUGAGUUUAGCUCAAUCAUGAUUGAUAUCAACUUUUCGUCCGAGUCUAGUUGUGGAGUUGAGGGUUCUAUAAUCUGAUUUGCAUAUUGCAGAUUAAGUGGAAUCUACUAGCUUUUUCUAUAUACUUUUGAAUGAUAUUCCAAUUUUUCUUUUGUGUAUACCAAUAUAGUUAUCGUACUAUUAUAGAUAUUGUUUAUCAUUACAACCAAAAUGAGUCUUAAUGUUAAUUUAAAGAUGCUAUUAUAGAGGUACGAUGUCAGUUGUCAAAGUAGGAGAACUAUAAAUAUGUUAAAGUAUUAUUGUCAUUAUAGAUAUCGAUUAUCGAUUGACUCUAAAUGGUAACGGUAACACUAAUGAUAAAAACAUAAUGAUAUUAGAGUAAACAUCUCUUCCAAUAAUAAUUAAAUUACAUUUUUCGAAGGUAUAAGUAAAUGUAAUCAAAAGUAAUCCAAUUGUAUUUUACAAUCGAUAUACAUCAACAAAAAUCCACUAUGUGAUUACCCAUUCCUUAUUACGAUUAGUAAACAUAGCCUAUAAUCAAUAUUGCAAGUUAUUGUAAAAUUAUUUGAUGAAUUUCAUUUUAUUUAUUUUAAUUGCGUGAAGGAUCCAUUUGACUAUUUAAAAUUUAAACCUCCAAACGUUAUUUUAAAAAAAAUAAUGAUAAAGAUCAAUUUCAUUUUAAAAUUUCAAUCAAUCAAACUUGAAUCAAGUUCAACUAAUUUAAAUAUAUCUUCGAUCAAAACAUUAAAGAUUUGAAUUAUCACGUUAGAUAAACUAUAUAGUAAGUAGAUUUUAAUUUUAAUAAUUACAUAAAGUUUUGGAUUAAACUUUGGUAUGAUGAGGAAAAAGUAGAUUAGAACGUGCAAAGAGUUGCAAUCAAUUUAUUUAUACAUAAAGCAUUAAGAGUGAGUGUGUACAUAAACUUAUCUUUAGUUGCCCUUUAAUUACUAUUAAUUUUGUUAAUUUUGCUUUGGAAAAAAGGGGAAGGGUCGAGAAAAGGGGAAGACCCUUCCUCUUCAUCCCUAUCGUUUUUUUACGAGUGAUAGAAUCUAAAAGUUUAUUAUAUAUAUAUUUAGUAAAUAUUUUGUUUAUUGAAUAUAUCUGAAAAUAUCUGCUAACCAAUUAAGAGAUAUAUGAACUAAUUGACAAAAUUAUUUAAUCUCCGAAAUUUUAUUAGCUAGUAACUUAAUUUUUAAUUUUGUUGUAAAUUAUAAUCCAAUCUCUAUCAUUAAAAUUACCAAAAAUAAAGUGUUAAUAUUUAAUAUUUAAUAAAUUAGUCUAUAAAAACUUAGAAUAUAUAUACUUUGGUCUAAUUUGGUUUGCCUUAAAAAGAAAUUCAUAUUGCUUUCUUCUUGUGGGUUUGGUUUUAAGCAAUUUAUUGCUUUACAUAAUGAUAACCUCAAAUUACUACUUAACAAAAAUAUUUAUGACAUCAAUCCUAAAUUAUUAACAAUUUUAAAUUACAAAAAUGAAAGAUUAUUACCUAAUCGAGCAAUUAAUUAAAUCGUUACCAACUUUGGAUGGACUAAAUAAUUACUUCAAUUAAACAAUUACCAUCCUUUUUAUUUUUUAAAAAAAAUCUUGUUCUUUGAUCUUCUUAUCUUUAAAUAAGGAUUAACAAAAUUACAUGAACAUAGAUCACAAAAUCUCUCAUUUUCUUGGUGGUUAGAUUACCUAUAGAUUGUACUCAAUGAUAAAUUUUUACAAUUACUUGUAAAUUCAUUUUACUAAAUUACAAGUCAAGUCUUCCAAAAAAAAAAUUUAUAGAUGCAUCACUAACAAACAUUCUUCAUAUUUAACAUAAGAAUUUAAAAAAAAAAAAAAAAAAGAUGGGUUUGAGUUUUUUUUUUUUUUUUUUUUUUGUAAUAUAAAGUUCAUCCAUAAUAAUAAAAAAAUUUGUCUUAUUACAUAUAUAUUGAAAAAGAAAUAGUAAGAAGAGAAAUACAAUGUACAUAAUUAAUAGUUACUUAUUUAUAACUUUUACAAACCCUUGAAAUUACUUAAAUAUGUUAAUCUUACUGAAUAAAACUUUAAGAAAAAAAGAAAAACUUCUACAUACUUCACUAUUGUACCUGAAAUUUCACAAAAUAAUACACAUUGGGUUUGAGUAGUUUUUCUUAAAUAUGAAGUUCUUCCAUUAGAAAUUUACAAUGGUAAUUAACCAUAACAUGAUGAUAAUUAUGAUAAUUGGAACCUUUUCAAAUAUACAAUAUAUGACCCCAAAAAAAGAAGCCAAAAAAGGUCAGAAAUGCACUGACAAUGGCAUCCUACAAGUUAAGACAUAUAUAGAUAGAAACAAAGUUAUACUCAUAAUGCAUCCCUUUGUAAUUUUAUAUAUAUAUAUAUAUAUGUAUAUAUUGUUAUUAUUUUAGAAUGUCUCAAUUUUAGUCCAUGUUUUUUCAAAAAAAAAAUCUUAAAUUUAAUGGUUGUUAGCUUGUUUAUUGUUUAACUUUUCAAAUCAUUUUUUCCUUUGUUAUUUAUUAAUACUUUUUACUAUAAGUUUUGGAAAUAUUGAAGUUCUUUACACGGAAAAAUAUUAUUUCUUUACCCUAAUUUGAUAAAAAUAUUAACUUCGACAGAGAUUAAAUUUAAGAUUUUUUUGAAGCACUUUGCAAAAUGGUAUUUUAAACUGAAAAGAAAAAAAAAGUAAUUUACUUGAGAACUUACAAAUGAAUUAAGGGAAAAUUCAAUUAGUAAGAAAGAAGAAAUAAAGUAGAAGCAACAAAAUGGCAACACUCCAAGGAAACAGAAGCAAAAGCAGAAGAAACCCAACUCCCCAUGGGAAUCCCACAGCUGAAUGGUUGUUGUUAUAUCCUCCGUCGCGGCCGAGAGAUAGCCAGUGAACGGCAACAACCAAAAGCAACGGCGAAACAACGACGAGCCUCUGAAAUACCUCUGAUGCCGAGGCAACGGCGGCAUCGUACACGGCAUAAGCCAAGAAUCCAAAGAUUAUAAGAGCAAUGGUUGCAAGAAGCCAUUGGUCUGAAAAGCUCAAGCUUGAAGAGUUUCUACAAGUAGCCAUAAGAAUAGAGAGAGGGGGAGAAAAAAAGUGAAAAGGGUGUUGUUGUUUUGGUGUUUGUGUUUAGGAGUGGGAAAUGAUUUGUAGUUAAAAAGAAGUGAAAUGUGAAGAAAUACAAAAAUGGGGUUUUCUAGUUUUGGCUUUAUAUUGUGGUCUUUACUCAUACUAUUGGGUUUAGAAGAUAAAUAAUUGACUGUCCCAUUGCUGCCACAAUCAUACAAACCCUUAAAAUUACAUACAACACCCUCAACAACUCUAGUGUCUGCCUUUCAAUUAUGUUUUUUAACUUUUAAAAAGUAUCUUUGUAGAGUUUUUAAUUUUUUUUAUUAAAAUAUGAUGAAAGGUGACGUGUUGGUUAACGAGAAAAGAAAUUAAAAGGCAUGUGUGAUAUUGUUUUCAAUAAUGCCAUUUAUGUAAAUCGAUAAAAACCGAUGAUGUGAAAAUUUUUAUUGUUAAAAUGCCUUGAAUCUAAUAUUAGGUGCUCCGAAUUACUAAGUAUUGAGCCUUUGAUGGUUUGUAUUAAUAUAUAAUAUUAUAAAUUAUUCUCUUUAAUAAUAAUUUGUUUUUCAUUUGUCCAUGGUUAGUAAUUGUAGCUAACAAGCUGUUAGUUCCACGACUCGAGUUUAAGAGGGAGAUUACAUGUGAAAAGAGGAAUUAUGAAGACAUGAGAUAUUGGUAAAAAACACUUUAAAAGAAUUGAAAAUUACUAUAUAUACCAACAAGAGCGGUGUAUCUUCAUUUUCAUUAAUUCAAUCAUAAGAACUUUAAAGUUAAGUAUGCUAAAUUUACCUAGAUGCAUUUAAGUGAGAACAAAGCAUGUUGAAAGAAUUCAUGUUUGAAUAACUUUCACUUUUAGAAGUAUUCGAAACAAGCAAGAAUGAAGUUGUUAAGUCACAGAUGGGAGUGUCGAGGUCAUCAAGUGUCAAAUCCUAUACUUACAGUGUUAUAGUUAGUAAAUCAGAACCACAUAAGUCUAUAUGUUGAUUCUAUGUUGUUUAUACCAUAUUGCUAAUCGAUUUUAGUUAUAUGAACAAUUUUCGUUGUCAAAUCAAUUUAUAUCCUUUUAAUAAAAGAAAAAAUUGGAAUGAAUUGCAAGGUUGAUUGGUAUCUUUAGAAUAGAAAGUUGAUGAGUAAAAAAUAAAAAUCUUCAAAGUUUGAGGAGAUGAUUGAAAGUUUAGGGAUGUUUUAGUGUAAUUGAAGCUCACAAAAACAAGAAAUAUGAGAGCAAAUAAUUGCACCAACUGUCUAAAUAGUCCCCAAAAUGGAUCCAAACUUACACACCCUUUGCUUAUAAACCUAUAGAGAGAAAUAGCUUUGAAGUUAAGAACCACAAGGACACUUUAUUAAAAUGCUUUACUCUUCUCGCAUUUCUAUUUGCUUACUUCAAAGGAAAUGAAAAUACCAAAUUAAGAAAUCAAUAUGAAAACAAUUUGAAAUAUAACUCAUCAUCUCAAAUAUAUAUAUAAUAAAAAUUAAAAACACAAUGAGAUUUAUGUUGUUUUUUUUAGAAUUCGUACUAGCCAACCAAUAUAGACAUGACUCAAUUAACAUAAUGUAUAAACAUUCAAUCAAUUUUGAAUUCCCUACAUAUGAUGAUGGAAAAAAUGAAAAGGAAAACGUUGAAUAACAAAUACGUAGAUCUCAACGUAUUAAACAAUUAUUGUUGUUUUUAAAUAUGUGUGAUUAGGUUACACCUAUCCAAAAUCAAGGUGAUGCAUUUAAAGUCUCAAUUAAAACUUGUUAAAAGCAAAUAACAAAAAUCCAGACUUACUUUGUAUAAUUUAGCUUUUAAUUUAGACUAUUCUCUAAGAUCUCGAUGAUUUCCUUAAUGAACGUAAUAAAUACAAAAAUUAAUCUACUUCCCAUGCUUAAAAGAAGAGUUAACUCAAUGUGUAAUAAUUUUCUAUGAAGUUCAUACAAGUGUGUGUUUGAGGUGUAUAAUCAAGUUGAUUGAGGUCAAAAGUAUCUAGCACCAUUUUUGUAAUCUAAAAGACUUUGAUAUUUUUGUUGGCUAUUUUUGUUUGUUGAACUUUUCUUGGACAUUCAACUAAGAUACCAAUUUACAAACUUUACACAUACUUGACAAUUAUGUGCAUGCAACUUUUGUAAUUGAGCUACGCAAAAUACUUGGUCACCUUUCAUUACAACAACAAAACUGCAAUGUUAGGUACUUUACAUUCAAUUAGGCCUUCAUAUGUUAGAAUUAAGAAAUUCUUAUUCAAAGAAACAUCUCUUUUUAAAUAGAAAAACAAAUAACCUUAAAUACCUUAGCAACUUAGAUCAAAGUACAUGAAGAUAAGGAGAUAUUUCUUGCUUUCGUUCUUUACAAAGCUUAGCAUCUAACCUAACUCUCUAGAUCAGUAGCACAUGUCUAAAUGCCAACAAAAACUUAACUAAACUAACACGUGAGUGUACUUAAGAACCAAAAAGUUUCAUGCUCAAAUCUCUCCAACUAUAAUUUGCACUACAAGAAAUAGCAUAUGUCUAAAUUAAUUAAGUAAAAAUUUCAAAUUUUGUAUUUAAAAAUAUUUUCACCAACCAAGUUUUUUUUGUUUCAAGAAUAGAGUCAACUAAGUUAGUCAUUGGGAAUGAUCAACUAAGUCAAGUUAGUCAUUGGAUCAACUAAGUCAAGUUAGUCAUUGUGAAUGAUCAAUUAAAAUAGUGAUUAGAAUUCACCAAAAAAGUGGUACUCAUUAGAGCUGGUCGCUAGAUGUGACUCUUGCCAGAAGUGGUACUCAUAGAAUGUGAUCGUUAGUGUUUGUCAACAAUGGUUGUUUCCAAACUUAGUCAUCAACAAUGACUGAUGUGUAGAAUCAUUGCAAACAUUGGAGGUGAGGAGAUUUAGGUCGAUUUAGUAAUUUCAUCAACAACGGUGCCUCCUAGAUUUAGUUGGGUUGAGUUGAUAAAAACUAACCACCCAACUUAGUGAACAGAACAGCCAAGCAUUCUUAAGAUACUAGUAAAGAAAAUGGCAAAUUUUCAACUCGUUGGAUUAAAAGAUCAUACACAAUUCUUUGUCAAAAACCUUUUUAGUUCAAUUAUAAAUAAAGAAAAUUAAACUUCUAACCACUGGUUAGUUGAACAUAUACCUAAACUAGUUAAAGAAUGUGACCCGAUUGACUUGUAACUUAUUUUGCUUCAAAAUUCAAACCAUUGAAUCAAAAUUGGGUAUAUUUCUAGAGAACCUUAAGACAACUUGUAUAUAUAGCCAGAACAAUAUUGGGAAAUAAGAGUGUACCAAAAUGUUAAAGUAGAAAAACAACAUAAAAAAUAGAAACUAUCUGACUUUUUGCCAAACUGUGUUCAUUUUACAUGGUUCACAUCUUAAUAUCAAAAACUGCAUUAGAAAAAAAAAUUACAACGAUCUCAAGAACUUAAUAAAAUAAUAACAAGAGAUUCUAAUUACUGGAUGAGCAUAUAUCAUUACUAAAAUCAAAAAUCACAAUCGAUUCAAUGCGGAAAUCUAAUUCAAGUUACAGAAUAGGCACUGAAUAUGACAGAUUAGUGUAGUAUAAUAAAUGUCACAUAGCCAUGUAAUUGGUUGUGAUAUAAAUAUCAAGGCUAUCUCUUCGUUGUACAUUUCAACGAUACAACAAUGAGAUAGAGCGAAUAAUCCAACAUGUUAAGUCAGCAUACAAAAUAAUUUUAUAUAAGAUCUUUUGAAAGAAUUGCCUCUUCAAGCAACUUCUUCAGAUGAUUUAGAAGAACGUCGUUUGAGAAUGUUGGGAAAUCUUUUGGGUAGACUACAUACAGGCGUGUCUCCCGCUAAACCUUGAAACGCCAUGCCUAAGGAAUAUCCUAAAGCUCGAGCAACCGGUACCGCAACUGCAUUUCCUACUUGUAUGUACCUGUUACAUGACCAGUUCUUAUAUUGUUCGUGUUUUGGAAUAGGUACUUUGAUCACUAAUCUUCAAAAGAACAUAGUAUAUUAUUCUGGGGAUUCACUCACUAGAACAAGAAAAAUGACUAUGUUCAAUGGUGGUCAGUCAAAAAAUUGUUUUCUAAGGGACACGAAGCAAGUUUUUCUAAAACAAGAAACAGAUUAUUGAUAAAUGAAAACAUAUAAAACAAGAUGGAUAAAAUGCAAAUAAAAUACGCAGAAAAGGGGGAAAAUAAAACAAACAGGCUCGCCGAAAGGGCAUACUAACCAAAAACUCCAAAACAGCAGACUAGUCCACAAAGCAAGUUAUUGCAAAGGUCAACCAAAAGCCUCAAGAAAUAUUUGCUUUAAUUGAAUUGGUAAAGCAAUAUAUAUUAUGUUUCAGAUGGUGGAAUUAAGUCCUUCCUUAAAUGCAAAGUUUCUAAAACAUACCUUUCUUUCACAGGCCCAAAGAGCUUAUAAUAAUCUGGAAAGCCUUGAAGUCUUGCAUUUUCUCGAAUCGUCAUUACUCUAUCUUGCUCUGGAUGUGUAAUUGCCUGUACGUAUCAGUGGACAACACAGAAAUGAGUUGGUUGAAGGCUGGUUUAUACUGGAAAAUUAAGUAAUUUCUCCUACGCAAAAGAUAUAAAAAGGCAUACAAGUAGAGUUAUAACCUGGUUGUGAGGCUCUGCCCGAGUAACAACUGUAGGCACUGUCUCGUCCCACCAUAAACGAGCAAAUGGCCUUUUUAUCAUUUCGUAAAAAUGGGAAAUAUAAGUAAGGAACAGGGAAGUAAAAUGUAUAAAAAGGAGAACGAAUCAAAAUCAAUGCUUACUUUGAUGAUGAUCCAUUCACAAAACUCAUGGCAUAAUCAGGAACCUGCAAUUGCAGUGGCGUAAGAUAUAAUAGGACUAGGAAUGGAAAGAAACCAAAAAUGCUCCCAGGAACUUUUAAGCCAAAGUUCAUACUGAAAUGGAUACAAAUGAAGUAAAUAGAGAUCCAUGCAAUGAUGAAAAUUGCAAUGGUCGUAUCUCAAGUGUUGGAUGUCAAUUGAUAUUUCAGAAAAAAUAACAAUAGACCACCACAACAGAAACAUGUAAAUUUGUUUAAAUUGAUGAAUGAAACCUUAUUGUUUUUACAUUUAAAAGUACACAAUUG
This 81978-nucleotide long non-coding RNA is filed under the name Cucumis sativus (cucumber). Its description in RNAcentral is "long non-coding RNA (CSAT_LNC000415)". Lineage: Eukaryota; Viridiplantae; Streptophyta; Magnoliopsida; Cucurbitales; Cucurbitaceae. The record is from RNAcentral.